RNAcentral lists this long non-coding RNA (73369 nucleotides) under Musa acuminata (dwarf banana). RNAcentral's name for it is "long non-coding RNA (MACU_LNC003126)". The record is from RNAcentral. Lineage: Eukaryota; Viridiplantae; Streptophyta; Magnoliopsida; Zingiberales; Musaceae.
UUUUCUCAGUUUGUCUUGAUGUACUUUUGUCUACUUUUUUCUGCAUGUUUCACCCUCCAAUAACUCAUUAAGGACAAUUAGCUUGGAUCAGAGGUUAGUUUCAGUUUGUUUAGUUGCAGUAGUAGUGGCAUGAUAGACAAGAGCACGAUUUUCUUAGUACAACUGUAGAGUAUUUGAAUUUGCUUCAAUUCAUCUACCAUUGUGGCCCUUAACAAUGCCAUUAUCUUAUUCGAUCCUAGUUAUUAUUCUCCUUUUGCUGAUGCUCUGUUUCUGUGUUUUUUCUUCUCUAUAUUCUGCAUUAGUGCUCUUUUAGUUUCUGCCGUAUUGUCACGGACAAACUUCUAAACAAGGUGUUUGAUGUAAUGCUUAUGUAUGUCCGUGUCGUUUGACAUAUUCAUACCUUGUACAGAAUGUAAAGGGGCAGCCGAAGGCUUAUAAGUCCCAUUUUAGUUGGGUUGGUGGCCUCUUUAGGCUUGUAAAUAAAGGUUGUGUCAUGUGGACACGUGCGAGAGCUUUUCGGUCUAUAAUGGAUCAUUUUACCCUUUGUUGUGCCACUGUUCAGAGCUUGUAAAGUCUGUUUGUAAUUUGCUUUGUCUAUGAAGUGUUUUUCGGACAUGUUUGCUUGUGGAUCCCGUUUGAGGCGUUCUCUUUAACCCGUUCUCUCUUUUGUUGGUCCUAAGGGACAAUGGGAGGCUUCGGGGAGGCUGACCUUUGCGGACGGACGCGCAAGGGUGCCGCACGACUUAGGCAAAACCAGCUAAGUCCGUGUCAUAUGGUAUCAGAGCGGGACAAGCACUCAUAGAAACACUUGACAUGCAAACGUGGGGGACCUAGCGGGGCUGCGUUGAGGGCAGUCAGCAACGCGCGACCGUUUGAGGGAAAACGGGCAUGGAGAUGUAGGGAAAAGAGUCGCUCAGAGGAGCGGGCAUCUAACAUUAGCAUUCAGAGGAAUGGCCAACCCUUCGCGCAAGAGGCACCACGAGAACAGGCAAGCUUGGAAGAAUGCGGAGCGCACAAAGGUUGGGAUGGCUGUGUUUGAGCUACGGCUCAACGUUGACAACUUUACUUGAUGGUGCUCAAGGCAAGCGAGGCGCUUGGCAAAGGACGAGACCAUGCAAAGUUGAAUGAGUUGCUCAGCGACCGAAAGAGUUGUGCAAAACUCACAGAGGUGAGGGGAAUUGCUAACUCGAAGAAUUUGGUACUCAUGCAUGGGCUUGUAUGCGAACGAUGGAAUGUUCGUGGCCAUCCCAAGGCGACCGAGACUCGGCGCCAUGGAGCAUUGAAACUUUCUCUUCAGCAUGUGACGGAUACGUCCGUAGGAGGCUGAAGUGUGCAAUGAGUUCAGCAUGUUGCUAGGCCUUGAGGGGCGCAGUGGGGGCUGUAUUGACGGGGAGGUNNNNNNNNNNNNNNNNNNNNUUGAUGGACUGAGCAAGCGGCGAGGAGUUGUCGCAUGAUCUCGCUUGAGAGAAUGCAUUGGUGGAUGCAUUGCGAGAUCAAGUGGGGGAGCAAUCCAAAGCAACUCAAAUGGAGGCACACUUGGAGUCGAUAUGGAGAUCGGACUCAAGGGAGGGCUGACCCGUGGAAUGGUGGGCGCGAGGGCCACCAUCGACUCAAUGCAAAAACGAGGAGCGGAGCAACUUGGGUGUAACUUGGCGAAGUACCCAAGCCGCAUGAAGGGAGCCAGCAUAGAAGUUGGAACAUGGAGCAGAGGCACAGUGCUUUCCCUAGACAGAGGUCAAGGACAUGAACUCUUGCAGAGACAGGAGUAGAAUCAUGCUGUUCCAUGGGUCCUUCAUUCUGACAGAGCGGACUCAUCCUGCAUGGUGCCAAAGACGAAGGGAGCUUCGGGGCACAUGCACCUUAUCUCGGAGGAGCAUUUGAUGGAGGAACUAAGGCGACUCAAUUUGCGAAGGCGAAGUUGGGUUCAGAAGGCCUUAGCACGGGGCAAGAGGACGCGGAGGCGGGUACUCUUGAAGAAUAUGCCACAGUGUUGCCAUUCAAGUUGCCAUGAGGGAAGCGGUGCGCAGCGGAGUUUGUGCUGGUUGGGGCAGAGGCCCAGGAUCCAGACAAUGGUGCACUAAUUACAGCGAAGUCGGGGGACUUCGGGAGCUACUAGGCGACGGACUGUCCUAGAGUGGUGCUUCAUCUAGGUGUGACCCAAGAGUGGGUGGAUGAAGGUCGAUUGCCAAAGGAGCGAACAAAAUCGAAGGUGGAGGAGACCCUGCGAUGUAUUGGCAGAGGCCACACAUGGAGGGUUCACAAUUCGAGUUUAUUCCACAAGGAUCAGAAUGCAAUGGAGAUGUCACCAGGAGGCGACAUGGUGCAGCGGAUCGUGGUGGAACAGUUCGUGGCAAUGCGACACACACGACACAGUCCCGGGAGGGACUAGAUCAUAUGGAGGUAUGAUCGGGAGCUACUGGGAGCUCCACUUCGGUGAACAACACGACGGCAAGAAGGGCUAUGGAUUCAAGGAGUGAAGGCCAUGGUACUGCAGAGGCGGGUCUUCCGUGCGUGCAUCGAAUUUUGCUUCGGAUGAAAGCCUUGGUCAUCAGCAUAUGGGGGCUGGGUUCCACCAAGGGAAAAGUUCGAAUGCAAGUACCAGUGAGUUCCAUGGGAGGAACUUGAUCAUGCAGAGGUAUGAUCGAAGCAGCUGGAGAGUUGGACUGCUCCAGAGCUCAUAUUCGCUUAAGGGAGCCCGACAAGUCAGAGGACAAGGUCGAGUAAGCGAACGUUGCUACCAAGGAAGCUAAGGAGAACAGAAUCGGUGCAAACUCUACAACGUGAUGGCAGAGGCCAUGCAUGGGAGUUGCAGUCUGUCUUUCCAUCGACAAAACGGACUGCUUGGAAAACACAGAGGUGUUGAAGCAGGGGGUCGAAAGGGGCGAGGAAGCGACGACGAGUCCAGAGGGACUUAGCUACCCAAAAUCAAGCAUCAGUUAGAAUGGAGGUGGACUCAGAGGAGUGUCACAGAGACAUAUCUACUGAUUGUGAAGAAAAGGGAUUUAGAGGCGAGGCGACGGAUAGUAGCGCCAUGGGCAUGGCAGCGCCAUGGUACCGCAGAGGCCGGACUUUCGUGAAAGUCAUUGAUCCCUUGCUCUCACGGAGGGAGAGCGCUUGGUCGUGAAAGGGGCCGAGGAGGUGGAGCAUGCAGAGGCAAUCUCCAAGUAUCGAGACAAGGCUGAAGGGCAGAGGCCAAGAAACUUCGUAAGACCGGUGUCAACAAGUUUCUCAUCAAGAUAGCCGUAAGUGAAGGGCUUCGGGUCAUGCAAGAGUGCACGACCAAGGAACGAAGCAAGCAGUACGCGGUGCUGUACCUUUGCUACUCAGUGUAGUAGGCGGCAGGGUUGAUGGAGAANNNNNNNNNNNNNNNNNNNNNNNNNNNNNNNNNNNNNNNNNNNNNNNNNNNNNNNNNNNNNNNNNNNNNNNNNNNNNNNNNNNNNNNNNNNNNNNNNNNNNNNNNNNNNNNNNNNNNNNNNNNNNNNNNNNNNNNNNNNNNNNNNNNNNNNNNNNNNNNNNNNNNNNNNNNNNNNNNNNNNNNNNNNNNNNNNNNNNNNNNNNNNNNNNNNNNNNNNNNNNNNNNNNNNNNNNNNNNNNNNNNNNNNNNNNNNNNNNNNNNNNNNNNNNNNNNNNNNNNNNNNNNNNNNNNNNNNNNNNNNNNNNNNNNNNNNNNNNNNNNNNNNNNNNNNNNNNNNNNNNNNNNNNNNNNNNNNNNGACCAGUAACCAGCUCGAUGCAUGAAGUACAACCUCGAGGAGGCGGGCGAAGUCAAGUAACCUUUGCCUUCUCAACUCUUAAGAGAAUGGGCGAAAUCGAGUACCCCAGUUCUCUUAUCUAUCUAGCAGAGGAGCUCUGCACAAGAUCAAAGACCCUUCGAAGAUAAUGGAAGACAAUAGUUGUCAAAUCCUCACCAACGGUGAUCAGUGCUACUGAGAGUAGAUUGUCCGCCUCAUUUCCCAACGAAAUGCCAAUCGAAAGCGGAAGUGAUGCGAACCUACUUAGAUGUGACAACUAACUGAAAGAAGAGUCAAUGAGCAUAUUUUGUGGAGGAAGGACCCAAAACUUCAGAAGUUUGCGAGGCGAUGCUCGUUAAAGCUCCAACAAGCAUCCACCCAGUUCAAGCAGCAUGUGGAAGUUUUGAGAGACUGGCGCAGUAAGGAUGGUCUUUUUCCUUCAUUUGGGGGAUCCGUAAGAAUCAACAAUGAUCAACACAACUCAGCCAACCCCACACCAGAGUCAAGAGUCAUUGGUGAGUUGAAGCAGCAUGGCGGAUCAAAGGUUCGACUACUCAGAAACAGCAGCGGAGAGCAGCUGGGAGCCAGGAGGCGCAUUGCAGCUAGAGCAGAAGAUUGAAGACUCAGCAAAGGUGAAGAGUUACAGUGUUCACAAAGGCUUCGACGAGGACGUCGAAGGGAUAAGUGGGGGAGAAUGUCACGGACAAACUUCUAAACAAGGUGUUUGAUGUAAUGCUUAUGUAUGUCCGUGUCGUUUGGCAUGUUCAUGCCUUGUACAGAAUGUAAAGGGGCAGCCGAAGGCUUAUAAGUCCCAUUUUAGUUGGGUUGGUGGCCUCUUUAGGCUUGUAAAUAAAGGUUGUGUCAUGUGGACACGUGCGAGAGCUUUUCGGUCUGUAAUGGACCAUUUUACCCUUUGUUGUGCCACUGUUCAGAGCUUGUAAAGUCUGUUUGUAAUUUGCUUUGUCUAUGAAGUGUUUUUCGGACAUGUUUGCUUGUGGAUCCCGUUUGAGGCGUUCUCUUUAACCCGUUCUCUCUUUUGUUGGUCCUAAGGGACAAUGGGAGGCUUCGGGGAGGCUGACCUUUGCGGACGGACGCGCAAGGGUGCCGCACGACUUAGGCAAAACCAGCUAAGUCCGUGUCAGUAUGCCACAGUGGCACAUCGAGCGUGUCAUCAAUAAUAACUUAGGUCAUCUUUCUUUUACCCUUUUCACUUAAAUAUUAAUUACAUUCUCUUAUGCUCACCAAUACCCGGAGCAGCAAAUUAGUUUCUCAAGAAAUUCAUGUUCUCUAUCUUGGAACUUCUGCUGGUGGUGUCCCUUUACAUCAUGGUUAACAUAAUUAAGAGAUCUUCCGACACUGAGACUCCUUUGACCCUCGUAGCUUCAUUCCAAGAUUACAUCAGUUUUGAAGAUGUCAUUGAGGGGUCUGUACAAUGGAUAAUAGGUGAGGCCAUAAGCAGGUAGAUAUGUGACUGGGCAUGUUUUAAGUGAUAUAAUCUAUUUAUUUUAAUCUGAGUAGUAAAAUUGAAAUAAAAAUGCACAUAUACACUUAUCUAAUUGCCUAUAUAAUUUUACAAUAAUGAUAUUUAAUUAGACAAGAGGUGCACAAACUACCGGCUUAGAGGCUGAAUAAGAUGAACUAGAAAGUUUCAAGGCAUACAUAGUUGUAGAGCUUACUUUAUGCACACAACAUAAAUUUUUUUUUUUUGUGUGUGUGUAUAUAUAUAUAUACAAAGAGAGAGAGAGAGAGAGAGAGAGAGAGAGAGAGAGAGAGAGAGAGAGAGAGAGGGUUAUGUGGAUAUAAAGUUGAUAGAUGAGUCACAGAAUAGCCCCUCAAAAGCACAUUUUUGUGGGCUUAAUGUUGCUGUUAUGUAUUUUCAUCUUUAUUAUGGCCCUUUAUUCCAUGUUCAUGAUGGACCUGUGAUGUUGUCUUUGGCUAGUGGGAUAUUAGGUGUUUCCCUCCCGGAGGCAUGGAAGAGACUUGAGUCGUGCUUUGGUCGAUGACUUGUACUGGGUUUGACCUCUGCAGAGUAGCUCUCAUUGCUGAACUCACUACUUCAUAAGAGGCAGGAAUGGGGUAAAAACCAUGCCAUCUCAAUGCAAAUCCUGUUUUUCUUCCCUCCUGAUUUUUCUUCGGCCGUUGCUUGCUCCAGUUGGUCCUCACUCCAUGUACAAUUUGACCAUAAUUUCCCUGAACCAUCAACUAGUUUCUCAUGCUUCUGCCUUUAUUUUUUCUCAUGUAGGUUCAGUCUAGUAAAACCGUGAUGGUUCCUUCUGUCAUUCUCUUCCCCCACCAGGAAGCUAUGUAUAUGGUGCAUAUUUAAGUUUUAAUGGUGAAUGCUGUGUAUAACAAGUAAGAAGAUGCAGGGGGGAAAAGCUCCAAUAUCAUUUAAUGAUUUCUGUAACCUAAUAAAACAUCAAUGUUUGCUGAGAUGUUCACAGUUUAUAUGUAUUGUUUUUAGAUUCGAAUUCACCGUUAUCUGCUCCAUAAUUUGUCGACCCUGAAAUCACGUAACAUAUGUUCAGUCAUUCACGCAAGAAACCAAGAAAUCACGGGCAUGCGUGUCUGCAUGAACAAACAUGCAUGUAAAACGCCGUUGCACGAAGCAACGUGUUCAAGACCUCAAUGUCCAUCUAUAAAAUAGGGAAUUUUCCACUGCUGAUGUAUCUGAUUGUGGUAUUUUUUUUCCCAAAAAAAUAAAAUUAAAUUUCUGUAAGAAGUACUGUUACAACCACGACCAGACUCAUCAGACUGCAACGAUGCAUACAGAUCAAGUGAUCAAUUGUCUGUUCACGUUUGAUCUGAUCUAAAUGAUUUUGGAUGGAUGAUCAAUCUGUUUAUUCUUGAUCCCCCUCCCAGGAUAUCUUGAUACGAAAGAUUGAUCGUCGCCGUUCAUUUGAGGUGACGGUGGACCGCGACCGACAAUAACAUCGUGUACACGAUCUGCGCCGUUCGUUAUUCAUAGCUAUGAUGGGAGGCGUGGUUUUUUCGUCAAUAAAUAAAAAGAGCUCUUGAUCUCAAUUUCUCGCGUCGAUCGACACUGGUAAAAUCCCCAUCGGCUCGUGCCGGCGCUCGACUCUUUGUUCGUCUGGAUUCCGGCGAGAAGCGAUGAUCUCUCAGUUCUUCGUGCUGUCGCAGCGAGGCGACAACAUCGUCUUCCGCGACUGUAAUCUCUCAUUGUUAUUCUCCUCUUCUGUUUCUUGAUUCACCCGCGAUUUCAACGCUGACCCGCCUUUUUCGUUCGAUCGAAACCCUAAAUUGAGCUCGUCGCCACGGCAUUGAGACCCGUGGACGGCCGUGUCGUCUGAUUGAAAUCCUGAUUCGAUGUCUCGGUUAUUCGCGCUGUCGUAGCCAGGCGACAACACCAAUUUCAUUUCUUGAUUCACUCGCGAUUUCAACGCUGACCCAGCCGUUUCGUUCGAUCGACACCACGCCCUAUAUUUAGUUCCACACUAGAGCAUUGAGAUCUGUGGAUGGCUGUGUCGUACGAUUGAAACCUUAAUUUUGGUUCGUUGCCAGGGGAUUGAGAUCUGGAGAUCCUGCAGAUCUAGGGCUUGCGGUCCAUAAUUCCUUGGACCUAGGCUCGGCCGGAUCCGUCUCCCCGGUGCAUAUUUGCACUAUUUUUCUUAUGGAAUUAUCUGGAGCCAUGGUGUUGAGAUUAUGGUUCUUAAUGUUUACACCAAAUCUCCAUUUUGGUCAUAUGCUCGUGUCCUUUUAAUCUUCCUAGUUAUAAGAAUUUCGUGAAUAGUUCAUUAUAUUUCUAAACGUAUCUGUUUUAUUGAAUACCCUACUCGUAAUCCUUUCUGGCUCUGACUGUUCAUUUAAAGCCUGAGUUAUAUUAAGGAAACCGUGGUGUCUACUUGAUGGAAUAGUGAAAUCACCACAGGAGUUCGUAUUUUUGGACUUACACGUAUAUUUUCUUCGUUCAUCUACUUGAAUUUGCUCCUAAUUGACAAACUGCUUUACUGGUAGUUAAAAUUAAGAUUAACCUUGUAAGUGGGAGGUUUGGGGAUAACCAAUUGAAGUAGGCGAAACGUGGAAGUUUGUGUAUUUUGUGCAGCCAAAAUUGUUCAGUUUGAAACAAUGUGGUUAUUCAGUACCAACUCGGUUAUAUGGGUUGCAGCCUAAAGAUAGAUUCCAUUAGUAUUAAAAAGGUUAUGUAAACCUGGUUUUUGGUCAUUUGUUUCCAAAUAUUGUUUGAUGUUUAUAGUUAUAAAGCAGAAGGUACUGAUAAAGGAGCUUGACAUAAUUUAUUUAUAUUGUCUAGAACUCUAGAUAACUAUAGAUUUGUAGAUCACAUUCAAGCUUCAUUAGAUUCCUGAUACUUCAAUUUGCUUUGUUCGUCUUGCUUUGUUUACUUAAGAUUUUCUAGGUUGAUUUUUAUUCUUAUGAAAAUAUGCUGUUAGACAUGUUAGGUAGGUACAUCUUCAAAUUAGUACCAUAUGGUCAUAUACUCAGCUCCUUUUAGAGAUGAGCUUUACAAGUGUAUCAUUUCAGUUAUAACUUAUAAGAGAAUCUGUAAUCUGCCAAAAGUAGAAGAACGUUGAAAUUCAGAUCAAUGAUGCCAUUAGAAUCGGUCAUCCAGGGUGCUUCUAUUAGUUCAAUUUUGAGGGCUCUGAGCUCAUACCAUGGGAAUAUGCUAUUUCCCCAUAAAUAUUAAGAUAGCUAAACUACUCUUACCAAUUGUUAGUUGAAUCAGUUGAUAGUACAGCCUUUUAUACUAAGUGCCCUGACAAUUAUUUUUCCAGUUCCUCUUUAUGUUUGUAAUGCUUAAUAAGAUUAAGCUUUUUUUUACUGAGCUUUGAAUAGUGGAUUUAUGUUCAAGUUUCUAGUGGGUAGGCUGUCUCAUUCGUUUCCAGUUAAAAAUAUUGAGUUUAUUUUUCCCUGAUUAAUUGGUCUAGAUCGUGGUGAAGUGCCAAAAGGAAGUGCUGAAAUAUUCUUCCGCAAAGUAAAGUUCUGGAAAGAGGAUGAAGAAGAGGAGGCGCCUCCUGUCUUUGUAGGUAUUUGCAUAUGCAAAGCUAGUGUAGCAUCAUUUGUCUUUCUAAAUAUCGCGAAGACAUAAAUUAGCAUUCAGGAUCAAUCCAAUUCUUGUAUCAACAUACUUAAAACUAUCUUGAGGAUCUCCACAUGUAUAGAUAUCUUAAGUCUGUUCUUUAAAAUGUAUUUUUUUAGUUAGCUAUUAGUGGGAACCUUAUCUAAUUCUGUAGCAGCCUUUUUCUCUCCUCUCAAGUCUUAGAUGAUGAAAAUCAGUUGCUGUUACAUCCAUGCCCAUUAUCUUGUUCAAACAACUAAACAAAAUUGUGCAUUAUAUCUCUGAUAUGAACUUUUAAAUUUUUGGUGUAAUUGCUGUUGUCAUUUUCAAGAUUCUUUUAACUUUGCUUUUCAUGCUAUUGAAAUAGAUGUGGCUUUUAUUAGUACUGUUGAAAAUCAAAUAGUUGGCUGGAUCCUGAUAGUUGGUACAGAUACGAUCAAUGAUACCAUGAUUUGUUCCACUUGAAUUGUAGUAACAAGGAUAAUUUUUUUUCUGAAUAGUUUAAAGAGGCAAGUGGCCUCAUCGUCUUAAGGCUAAUAGUAGGUAGAAAAUUCUUUUGGACCUGCUCCUUUACAUUCUUUGAGAACUAUGAUGGAUUGAACCAACUAUUCUAUUGAAAAUAUAGAGAUUAUCAUAGAUAGACAUGUAUCUCUUCCAAGGAAGAUGCUCCCAAGUUUCAACCACUUGUUGCUCUAUUGACCAAAAUUGCUUGCAUGCUAUCAUUAUAAAUAUUUGCAAAGGCAUAUGCAUAAACUAUUAAAACAAGAAAAGAAGGAAAAUUUUAGUCUGAACUCUGAAGCAUGCAUAAGAAAAUGGUAAAAUGCUGAUCUGUGGUCCAUACUGCAUACCACGGAAAAUGGUAAAUUGGUAAAAUGCUGAUCUGUCCUGUUAAUGAGGCAAUUGGGAUAUAACACAUCUUGGAUGAUAAAUUUUUUGAUGGUCAAAUUUAACAGAGAUGGAAGGUUUAUCAUAGACUGGUUUCUCAUAGACUAAUAAUGACACAUGCCGAUCACAUAUAGAAGAGACUGGUCAUAGUACUUAUAUAGUGAUUAUAUUCUCCUAAUAUAUAACUGGACUCAUCUGAAGCACUGAAGCACAUCUUGACAUGGUCGUUGUUCCAGCUAUAGCAUUGUCUUUGAAAGAUCUUAUUGUUGGAGUUAGUAAGUUAUGAACAUUAGUGCUUUGUGAGUAUGCCAAUGUCAGUGACAUUAGCUGCUCAAGCUCUGAGUUUGUUGCUGACAAGGUGGAGUGUCUAGCUAAAUUGUUGUUGCACAAGAGGAGGUUUAUUUAUCUAUCUACAUGAAAGAUUUUGGAAAAGUACCAUACAGUUAUAUCUUCUGGUUGGGGAUUAAAUGGUAUAGUGCUUCUUUUUGUCUUUUCCUUUUAGGCCAAAUGAUUAAUCUCCUUUACUUAAGUCACAAAAAUUAAACAUUUGACCCCUUAGAAAAGAAUAUUAGAUGAAGCUUAUACUGUUUUACUGGGCUACUGUUAGGCCAUUUUCUUCAACUUGAUUUGCUGUCAAGCAAUCACUGUUGUCUUUGAUGGUGCAAUCAAAAUCAAAUUUUUAUUCCAUUAGACAAUAUCUUUGAUAGAUUUUGCUAAAUCUAUUUUCUGGUAUCAUAUGAGAAAUUUGUGUUGAUGCAUCUACCAGUCACUAAGCCUUCUUGUUUCUUUUGUUUUUUUUUUCUGACCACAGAAUGUGGAUGGUGUCAACUACAUUCAUGUGAAGGUUGCUGGGUUGUUCUUUGUGGCAACGACAAGGGUUAAUAUUUCACCAUCUCUUGUUCUGGAGCUCUUGCAGAGAAUUGCACGUGUCAUAAAAGAUUAUCUUGGUGUUCUUAAUGAAGACUCGUUACGAAAAAAUUUCGUGCUUGUUUAUGAAUUACUUGAUGAAGUUAUUGUAAGUGUUUGUUUACUAUGUUACAAAUAGUCAAAUGUUUCUUUAUUUACUUCAUGAUUUAUCAGGGCACAAUUUACUGCUAUGGUACAACUAUUCUUUAUCAUGUUAUGGUUAUAUAUCUUGUCCGUGUUAAUUGGACUGAAGCUUUUUACAGUUGAUGAUAUCUGUUCCAUUUGUAAUCCUAUUUUUAGGACUUUGGUUAUCCACAAACAACCUCUACAGAGGUUUUGAAGUCAUAUAUAUUCAAUGAACCGAUUGAGGUUGAUGUUGCACGUUUGCCUCCUCUUGGUCCUGCAUCGAUGUUUAUGGUACCAUUUAUUUAUCUUUACAUUAUUCACUGCAUCUGGAGAAUCUCUUGUAUUCCUGGAUUCUGUUCUGUUUUUAGAAUACAUUUCUUCGUCUACUUGGUUUGUGUUUCAGACUUUUAGUUAACUGUUAGUAUUUGCAUGCUUGCAGCAAGGCACUAAAAGGAUGCCUGGUACAGCUGUUACCAAAUCUGUUGUAUCUACAGAACCUGGUGGUAGGAAGAGGGAGGAAAUAUUUGUUGACAUUAUUGAAAAAAUAAGUGUGACAUUCAGCUCUAGUGUGAGUAAAUUUGUCUUUUGUCCAGUAACAUUUAGUGGCUGCUGUCAGAACUUAUUUGUGUUUAGUAGAUUAUCACUCAUGCCCAUGUAGACCUGUUCAUGUGACAAAAUAUAUACAUUGUACAGUGUGUUUUUACUUAUCCAUAUUAAAUAAAUUGAAGCCAGAUUUUGAUGGUUAAAUUAGAUAAGUUCUAUCAAAUUCAUGUUUUGCUGCAGUACCAUAAGAAACUUCUCGUUUAGUUGUAUUCUGCUGAUUUGCCUGACAUAGAUGGUUAUCUUCCUUGUCUGCUUAUGGUUUUAUAGCAAGCUAAAUCGAGCAUUAUUAUCAAAGUUUGUGCAGUUACGAAUUCACAUAACUGUCAUCCAAAUUCAGUUUAUAAUCCCUUUUAAUGUGAAAGCUCUGUCCUAAUGGUGAUGAUUUGAUUUUGUCCUAAUGUUAUACCAUUUUGACAAUAGAUAUUGUAAUGGAACAGGGUUAUAUACUCACAUCAGAGAUCGAUGGCACCAUUCAGAUGAAAAGCUACCUAACUGGAAAUCCAGAAAUUCGUCUCGCGCUCAAUGAGGACUUGAGCAUUGGUAGAGGCAGUGCUUCUGUUUAUGGUAAGAACAAAUAUAGUGUAUUCUAAUUGUAUCACCUCUCCUAGUUGCUGAUUAUGUUGUUGCUUUGUAUUUAUCUGAAUUUUAUGUUUCUAUUACUGUUUCGUAUUACCUUUAUUAUUGUGCAAGUGCAGUCUACAUCCAAAUAGAUAUCUGUCUCUAGAUUUUGAUCUUCUGUAAGUUAAUUUUAGAGUCUUUUGCAUUAUGACUACUAGACACCUCCAUGUCUGUUAAGAUUUAUGGAAAACAGGCUAUUUUGGUCAUCAUACUUGUUAACUAAAGCCAUUGGCUAUAGCUUACGAGCUAUUUCUGAUGAUUGGCUCAGAUUUCUGUUAAAUGUGAUACACAAACUGUAUUGGAACAAAAUGAUUUCAUGAGCCCUACAUCGAUCUUGAUGUGCUACUCCAUAAGUUUUCAUUGGGUUUUCUUAUUUCUUUAAUUGGCAUGUCUAUCUGAGAUAUUCCCAUUCAGUAGGACGUCGGUCACCUCUCCAAAAACAGAAGUGGUCUGUCUACCAAAGUUAGCAAGAUUGUGCACAAAAGUUUUGCUGUUUAUAUUGAUGUGAGGCCAUUGUAGGACUUGGACAGCUUUGACUAGAUGAAGGGUGUCAUGGCAAAGGGGCAGAAGUUGCCAAGGAAUGCUUUUGCGAUUCAAAAGCAUGUUGACUAAGCUUUUGGAGUCAGCGAAGACUCUAAUACAGGUAGGUUGUUCUUGGUGUGCUGUCUUGAGGCCAUCCAAAAUAGUUACAGACCACCAUUCUGUUGUCCCAUGUGUCUGUGAGAAGGUUGCCGGUCCCUGCAAGAGAAGUAGCAGGGCCAAAGGAGUCACCACAGUAAAGAUUAUAAUGAUCAUCUGAGACGGAAUUCUCAGGGCGGUCAGUGCAUUGUCGCAUAGUUACAUAUGUGGAAUUAAAGACAUAAUUUCAAUUUUCAAGGAUAAAUCAUGUGGUGCUGAAACCCUGAAUUUGAAAAAAAGUGAAAAAGUGGGGAGAACUAUUGAUGAAAUAGUGCAUAAAUAGUUCUAAGUAAUUUAUAUGCUUUUGUUGUUACUUAAAAGUAAGAGUUGGGGAGAAUUAAUGGACAAAUUGUUGGGAAACAAAGUAUCACUAAGACAGGCAAAAAUGCAUAACGAGCUUUGCAUCCGUACUGCAGAUUGCAGAAUUUAUUCGACUUAUUCAUAAAUGAUAGAUUUUUGUACUUUAUGAAUUUAUUCUUAUAUUAAUCUUGUUCUAUUUGGUUUUAGAAAAAUUAUCUAGAGAAUUAUUUGGCUCACUUACAUGGGAAGAACUGUGUAUCUUUUAUAGUUCAGUAAACUUUGUUACUGUAGUUUAAAGUCAUGUAUUGUGAACUUGUAAUAUGUAAGUUCUACAAGAUUGAUUAUGUUUCAGAUUAUAGAAGUUCAUCAGGAGGGGCUGUAAUACUCGAUGAUUGUAACUUCCAUGAAUCAGUUCGCCUAGACAGCUUUGAUGUCGACAGAACUUUGACAUUGGUGCGUGUAUUGCUUUGUGUAUACAUAUUCAAAUGCUAAUAAAAACCUAUACUUGUCAAUUAGAACAUAUAUUGCAAAAGCAAUAUCAUGGUACUUAUUGUUCUUUUUGAUGAUAGAUACCUCCAGAUGGAGAAUUUGCUGUAAUGAACUACCGCAUGACUCAGGAGUUCAAGCCUCCUUUCCGUGUCAAUGCAUUGAUUGAAGAAGCAGGACAACUAAAGGUAUGGUCAUGCUUAUCAGGAUCUUUUAACUAUAACAUGAUGCUUCCUUAAUCCUUAGAGAUGUUGUCUCUGAAUUCUGUUUACGAUCAGCAAUAUCAGACAAUAUAUAUUCUUAUGCUUAACAGGCUGAGGUUAUUAUAAAAGUACGUGCUGAUUUCUCGGCAAGUGUUACUGCUAACACAAUCACAAUUCAAAUGCCAGUGCCAACUCAUACAGCAAGGUGGUUUUGUUCCUUGACUUUACAUCUCUUGUUCACUUCUCACUGUUAUGUUUCCUACAGUCAACUCACUGGUAACCGUUUGUAGGAAUCUAUAACUUCAUCCAUUUGAACUAUGUAAUUUCAUUAUUGCUAUCAUUUGUAUUGACAAUUAAUCAUUGCUAAUCUAGGAUAUCCGCUUCUUCAUUCACGGUUAUCAUAUGUGAACUAUUCUGGAUUUUUUGGAUUCUUCUGCUGAUGCUCUCCACCUUUGUGAUUACCGUUGCAAUUUUUUUCCAGGGUCACAUGUGCUCACUCAUGCAUUAAUCAUGGUUUUAAAUAGGUAAUUAGAUAUUUUAAAAACAUGUAAAGGCUGUGAUUGUUAUGAAUGUAUCUAACUGACUAAAAGCCAUGUCCGCCAAUUUAUACCUGCAGUUAAAAACUCUCCCUUCUGAAUUGACCAGUAAAAAAAUGGUGUAUUUCAUUUUUUUUCCACUGUACAAGCAUCUUCCAGUUGUGAAGAAUUCUCUUAGUUGAAUUUGUCCUUCAGAAGAUCUAUCACCACUUUAAUAGGAUAAUUUUCUCAAGGUAUGCUGUAUUUAGUGUUGUUUGUCUUUUUUAUCAAUUCGUUAUCAGGAAUCUUCAUCCUUUUAGUUUCUUAUGGUUUGUUUCCUACCAAUCAUGUGUUCAUGCGUUUGGCCCUGGACCUUAUUAUUCUCUUAAAGCACUUCUUGCUAAUUAAAUUGAGUAAUAACAUAAAUGAGUUCUACUGAGGGUUCUGUUUAGGUGAGAUAUUUGAAAGAUAUGUGAACAUUUAAAUUCACUGAACGAUCUAUGCUAUACUGUUGGGUGAUUGAUCAGAUUCAUUGGAUCUGUAACCACAUUCCCUUCUACCGUCUAUUGCAUGUGCUUCACUUGUCUUGCUUGAUGAUGUUCUUUUGAAGUUAUUCCUUCAGUUACUGGUGACCUCUACAAGUAUUUUCUUAUUGUUUCAGUGUAUCUUGUGUAUUCUACUUUAAGAGACAGUCCUCGUCUUUCUUUGACUUUUCGUGUUUCCACUACUAGAUUAAGAUGGCCUAUAUGCAUAAUGUUUUUUUAAUAUUAUUUGUUGAUACUUCUACAAGGUUGGUAAGUAGUUCAUAAAUGCAAUAUCGUUAUUUCUAAAAGACUUAUUCCGUUAAGUUUCUAGAACCUUUCUUUUUGUUGCAUAAAGCAUGGAAAGCUGAUCAUAUCUUAUAUACUAACGAAUGUGUGUCACAAUUCUAAUUAUGAAACCAAUCACAUAUGAAGCAUGACCUUGGUGAAGUCUUCUUUUAUUGAUUUUUUUUCUAAAUGGUAUCAUAAUUUACUGUGUGAUACAAUUGUGGUUCUGAAUAUAUAUUUUCGGUAAUUAAUGGCCAAAAGUAGUGAUGACUGGUAACUGUUGCUGAUAAAGAUAUUGGACAAUGAUGUACAGGGUUAGUUUUGAGUUAGAAUCUGGUGCAGUCGGACAGACGGCUGAUUUUAAGGAAGGAGCUAAAAGACUUGAAUGGUGUCUAAAGAAGGCAGGAUUUUCAUCUAUUUCUUUUUCCUUUUAUUUUUUUUUUCUUUCUUUGUUCAAAUUUUUAACAUAUUAUUAUCAAUAUCUGGGUCUUCAUGGAAAAAUGGUAUGUGUUUUUAGACUAUUCAUGUUCCAAGUAUUAACUAGUCAUAUCUUCCACUAAACCUUGGCCAUAAGAUAAAUAUUUAUAUAUUGUAUUAUAGCUCUUUGAGUUGUCUGUUCACAUUUGGUCUUACAAAUGAAAGUUCUUCAGAUUGUGGGUGGGUCUGAACACACACUGCGUGCAAAGCUCACAUUUUCACAGGAAUCACAUGGUAGUAACAUUUCUGCUUAUUUCUUCAUUGAUAAAAAUUUCUAUCCUGUUUGUUAAAAGUUCUUGUUUUCCAGGAAACAUCGCCAGAGAAGCUGGACCUGUAAACAUGAACUUUACCAUACCAAUGUACAAUGCAUCAAAGUUUCAGGUGAGGCGAUAACUUUUUUUACUUGUUAGCAUGCCCUUUUCAUCCACCAGGUUAGGUUACUUGAAUUAGCUGAGAAAGAGACAUAAAUUCCGAUACUUCUUAGCUGUCAAGUAUCUCAUUGAUGGUUAAUGGAUGCUUAAAAUGGGGGCAAAUAAUUGUCAUUAGAUAUGCAAGAACCGAGUAAUGCUCUUUUUUAUUAAUCUUAAAUGAUUUUUUUGCUGGUUAUUGUGGGUAAUUUGGCUAUUUAGUCUUUCUGGUAGUUCUCAGUUUGGUUUACUAGCAUAUUAUAAUCUUAAGAUGGUGAUAAUGUUGAAGCAUAUUAAUUGUGUAUAUAUGAACAUGGAUCUAUGCUGGAAGCUUGGGGCAAACUCUGAUGUAAUAAAUGUUAUGUGCACAUUUUGGACAUUUGUCAGUAUAUUUGGAAGCAAGUGGACAGUUCAGGUGCUCUGACUUUGUGGCAAAAAUUAUUAUAGUGAAAACUCUAUUGUCUAAUCCAACCCUGAUUCUAUCACCAUUUUAUGUUUGAGGUCGUGGACUUAUAAUUGCUAAAGAUAAAAGGGACCGAAGAUAUCUAUCUGCACAAUUUAGAUUUAAUAGUGGUUUCCCAGUAAGACUUUUUUUUUUUGUCUGUUGCGUCAUUGGGUACAUGGUCUGCUUGGCCAAGACGGGGAAAAAUUUUGUGUUCCAAGAGGAGUGGAAGUGAUUGUUAUGCCUGUAUGGUAAGCGGAAGUAGCAUUUUAGAGAUUUACUAGAAGCGGGCUAUUAAGAAUGUAGUGUCAGUUCAAUGGACAUUACAUUGAUUAUUUAUCAGAAAGGCAAAGGAAUUGGAGCACUUACAGCAUUUCUUAGUGGGUGUAGAUUUAGGUUGACUACAUAGUUCUUUGUUGUUAUGUUUGUGGGUGUAGAUUUAGGUUGACUACAUAGUUCAUUAUUUAUCAGAAAGGCAAAUGAAUUGGAGCACUUACAGCAUUUUAGAGAUUUACUAGAAGCGGGCUAUUAACAACAAUAAGCGAUCAGGGCCCAACUCUUUGGGAUCGGCUGCAACUAACAUGAUUUUGAAUAACUGAUUAACUUUUAAUUCUUGUUUGUGAUUUCAUUAUUUAUAAAAUGUGAGAAUUUCUGUGCUUGUUAAUAGUUUGACCCCUUGGCAAAGUGACUAGAAACAUCUUUGGCAUUGAAUUUACUUACAUAAUAAUUAGGUCACACUGUUCAUAUGACAAGCUUCAACCAAAUGUAUGCUAGAUGUCCAUCUUGGCUGUUUUGCUUGUCCUAGGGAAUUUGUGAAAUUAUUUAUGGACUCUUUUUUGUUUGACUUUGCUCCAUAAUGAUCCGACUGACAAGAAAAGACUUGGAUGGUUUAUCUUUCAAUUCAUUCUAGGAUCAUUCCUUCUAUGCUGAUUUUUCUUAAUUGCUGUGAUUCUGUUCCUUUAAUGUGAUUCAAACAAUCUCAUGAGUGCCACUUCUUGAUUUUGAGCUAAAAGUUAUUAGCAAUAAAGUUCUGAUCCUUGGGUUUCCCUCCUCGUGUCUUUUUUCUUCUUGAGCAGGUAAGAUAUCUACAGAUAGCAAAGAAGUCACCCUCCUACAACCCAUAUCGGUGGGUGAGAUACGUCACACAAUCAAACUCCUAUGUUGCUCGCUUAUGAGAAAAUUCGAAGUUUUUUUCUACUUGUUAUUAUUAAGGUAUUGGAGAUGGAGACUUCGAUGAGUACUUUUUUUGGAGACGAAUAACUAGAGAAUAAAGUUUGUGAAAGAACCGAACUAUUAGCCCCUCCCCAACUUUUGCAGCAUGGUACCUGUUUUUUCUUCUCUUCCAAGUGUUGUUGUAUGUCAGGUUAGAGCGGUCAGGUCAGUAAAUAUGUCAUGACUUGCUCUGUUAACGAGCACUCAUUAGCAAAACUGACAGUGAAUUGUAUGUUUUUUUUUUGGUAAUCUGAAUCCAUCCUAUUUACUUAUUUUAAUUGGGUUUGGCUAAUCAUAAUCAAAAGAAGGGAAAAUAUAUAUAAUUGAGACAAAAAAAAUCAAAUAAAAAGAAAGAACUAGAAAGUUAAAGGAAAUAAUUAAAAAAGGUUGGGAACACAGGUAACGGCUGCGUGAGUGUUACUGCACUAUCUCUACGAAGCAUGAGCACAACAGAUAGGAAAUAUUACUAGGUUUUAUUUACGUCGCCAACAAAUAGGGAACAAAUAAGUUAAUGAUUUUUUUGGUUUUGAACGGAUGCGACAGCGGAUUAAGAAGGGUCGCGAUGGCAAGCAGAGCGGCACAUUGAACGCGAUUGGCGAAGGCUGGUGGGUCAACGAUGAUCUUGACCGCGGGUCCCGUUCCCUAGCCCACCUCUUCCGAGAAACGAGAAAUAGAGGAGAGAGAGAGAGAGAGGAAUAAGAAUCGACGAAGGCCUGUUAGGAACGGGGAGGAGAAAGAAACGUGAAAUGGCGAGGAGACGACAGCGAGAGAUCCCGCCUUGCUCCAAGACGUACGGCUUCCCCAUCUACUGCGCCGCUUGGGUCCCUAUCGACCGGAUCUCAUCCGCCGCCGCCGAGGAAGAGGCCGCCGGGAAGAAGAAGGAAGGAGGAGGCGAGGCUGCAGCCGUGGAGGAGACCGCCGAGAAGAAGGAACAAGGAGGAGGAGGAGGCGAGGUGGCGGUGGCCGAGGAGGAGGCCGCGGAGAAGAAGGAACAGGAAGGAGGCCAGUCGUUCCACACGCUCGAUCCCAAUUGGCUCCUGGUGGCGCUGGGGGGAGGCGGCGGCGAAGGACGGAGCGGGGUUCCCAAUGUCCUCCUGAUUGCCGAGUUCGACUUGAUCUCGCGAUCUCUCUCCGACACGCCGGUAAUAUUCUUUCUUCCCUCAGUUUCAAGAACCCUAUAUAACCCAUCGAUUCCUGAAUCCGAACAUGUUCUUUUCGAAUUUCGUUAUAAUUUUAGCGUCUGAAGUGGUUAUGAGGCGUGGCUUCUUGAUUCUUGAAGUUUUCGUUGCCUGGUGUAGGUUUUCAGGUUGGGAACCGAUGCCGAUGUGCCUUAUAGGAUGGCGGUGCACCCUGGAGGAGACGGCGUUGUCUGCGCGUUUCCAAAGAGUUGCAGGUGUCAGAAACUCUCGUCCUCAUGUCAAUUUAGUGUUACAAUAUCGUUGUCUUGAAACUCUUGUGCUUUUGGUAUUAUACCUUUUGCGCUAAAAAGAUACCAUGAACUUGACACAAGCACUUGGUUAAAAUGUACAAGUUAAUUUGACUCGGCAUUCAUGCCCUCAUAUACAGAUUUGACAUCGAAAUCAUGAGCAAGAUGUAUUUUCAGCUCCCAGUUCCCUAUAUUUUUUACACUUGUUAUUCUCUAAUUUUUGGAGAAGAAUUGGCAUCUAGCUGUCACAAUUCAACCACUUAUUACAAAAGAAUACUUGUAUCACUUGCAAAGACUUUUGCAAUAUGUUUAUUGUAUCUAGCUGUCACAAUUUGAGAGCUAUCCUAUGAUGCCGUGCUUUAAAAUGGAGAACAUGACAUUUAGAGAAACAUUCAAAGAUAUGCAGAUUCUCCUAUUCAGUGUUUUGGGUGUUGUUGCUUUUCUUAGUGAUAUUUAUUUGCUUUUUUACCAUGUAGUGUGCCAGAGAUUUCUGUUUAUGAUGAAUAAGCAUGCUUUGAUCUUUCUUGUGAUCGUGAACAUUUGUUUUUAUCUGCCCCUCUAGAUGGUUUGACUGGGACGUUCCAGAGAGCAAGAAAACCUAUAAACUGGCCUUGAAAUCUUCUGCAAAGAUAUUGACACCAUUAGAAGAUGUUGGGCUGCAGUUAGCAUUGGCCUUUGAUGCUGAAGGUUCUAUACUUGCAACUGGUGGUGAGGUAGGUAAUUUCUUUCUGGUUGUUUCAGUUAGGAUAAUUUGUUUACCAGUGAUGCUCAUCAUUACCAGUGAACUGCAUAAGAAGAGAACAUAAAAGGUUGUGAUAUUGUAGUAGUUAUCAUUUGGAUGUUUCAUACUGCAGUAUGUUUUUGCUCAAUAAUUAAGUGUUGACAUCUAUUUUAGUGGACACUGCUUUCUUAUACCAUCCGAGCAUUCUAUAUAAGUUGCAUGACAGUUGAGAUUUCAUGUUCCAUCAAUGAAAUAUCCCUGAAAAAAGACGAUUAAAAUUUCAUGUAACUUGUUUAAAGUUUUAUGGUGUAGCCCCCACAAUACAUGGGACUACAUGGUAAGGAAAAGUAACACUAUAGAAUUAGAAAAGGAGAGCAAGAAAAGCAGAAGACAUGCUGCCACAUGCAUGAAUUUACAUGAAUGCCUCAUCUUUAAUUUUGAGCUGCUACAUGCAGGAUGGGCAUUUGAGGGUCUUCAAGUGGCCAAGCAUGGAAAUUAUUCUGGAUCAAACUGAUGCUCAUACAACCGUGAAGGAUCUGGAUUUUAGGUGGAUGGAUGCCUAUGCAUACUAAAUUUACAAAGUUAUUGGAUUUUUUUUUUUUGUUUUGUUAUCAUGUAUCAUUUCUGAGCCUAUGAAAUGCUUUGCAGCUCAAAUGGUAAGUUUCUCGUGUCAUUGGGCAACAGUGGCCCAUGCAGAGUUUGGGAUUUGACAUCAUCAACAGCUAUAGCCAGUCUGCCAAGGGAAAUUGUAAGCUUCUUAAGUGAUUCUUAUAUGUGGCUGUGUUUGAAAUUUUUGCUGAACAUACUAAUCUGAACUGUAUCUGCUUCCAGGGUGAAAUUUUUGGCUUCUGCAGAUUCUCUCAGACCAGGGCUGAUAAUCCAGUUUUAUAUGUUACUGCAAUGCACGGUGUCGUUGUUGGAUAAGGCUAUUUCUUCUUGGAAGUUUUUCACUAUAGUCACAAUUUUUGUAGGAUAUAACACCAAACAACAUACGUACAGGUAACCAAGCAAAGCUAGUGUCUUGGGAUUCCCUUUCAUGGAAGAGGGUUGGAGAAAGAAAGAUAGGUCGUGAUCCAAUUUCCGCAUUCAACGUAUCCAUGGAUGGUAAACAUCUUGCUGCGUAAGUGACUCAACUUAUACGUCCAUCACUGGUAUAGUUCUGUUAGUAAUAUUUUCCUAUGCUUUGCUAUUUCAUUUGCAUGAUUUAUUCUAUUAGUCGUAUUCUACUUCUGAGAGUCUAAAGUUGGCUUGUGAAUGAUAUGAUAUUUGCUACAAGGUUGAUAGUAACAGAAGUAUACAACUUAGAGUAAUUUGAAUUUGGAAAUAUGAGCUGUAGCUUUUUGUGGGUUCCCCUGGGGUAACGUCCUGUCAUACCCCUUUAUUUAUUGUUUUGACUUGUGGCUUUUUUUAUGCAUCUGAAGUUCUAAGCCGAACUUCAGAAAUAAUUACCACCAUCUAACUAUCUUUUCUCGAGUCAGAAAUAAUUUAGGUGACCAUUUUCUGUUCUUUUAAUGAUGCAAACAUGCUCUAAUUUGAGCCCCUUAAGAUUUUUUACUUUCAUCUGGAUUUCGGAGAACAGAAUGAUUCUUCUGUCUUAAAGAGGUAUUAAAGCAUUUCAUCAUUCUUUGUGUCUGCCUUGACUUUGUCAAGAGUCCAUAAUUGUAUCAUCAUCUUGGAAAUAAGCCAUCCCAAUAUGUGGCUCAAUCAGUAGUGACUGAAUACACCCAACAUUCAUUAUUUUGUGUAAAAAUAGGAAAAUAUAUGGUGGAAAAUUCUUUGCUUCCGUAGUUUAUUUUCUUGAAAAGAAUAGCCUUUUCUUCACUGUUUGCAGUGGGACUGUUGAAGGGGAUAUUACUAUAUUGAGCUCGUUGGAUAUGCGGGUGCAGAUGACGGUUAAAAAGGCACACCUUGGCAUCGUGACUGCAUUGGCUUUCACACAAGAUUCAAGGUUAUUAUUCCACCUUCCCACCCCACCCCCCGCAUCAUAAUCUUAGGGUCUUAAGAACUUUUUUUCUUUGUCGCGUACAGGGCACUGGUUUCUACAUCCUUCGAUUCAAAUGCACGAGUCACAGUAAUCGAGAGCCAAAAAAGUAGCGGUAAAGUCUCGAUCUGCCUUUUGGUCUUAGGUGCAUGCUUAUGUUUUUGAAGAUUUUGAUUAUAUGUCCGUCGCCAGGGCCCAACCUGUGGCUUUUCGUGCUGGUGAUCAUGCUGGCCGUUCUGGUCUAUUACUUGAGGUUUACGGGAGUCUUCUAAAGGGGUGCACUUCGGGCUGCUUUUUGAUCGCGGAUACGUUUUUGUCGGACAAGGGACCGUUUCGAUUGAAUAAUAUGUUCAGGGAUGCUUUUGCACGCCAAAUGGAAUGAAUGCACCGACAGAAUGACCAACUAUUUUCAGCUCUGGAUUCAAGAAGAAAGCUCCCAAUAGCUUCUAACAUUAAUGAGUUGCAAAUUUAGAUUGAAUUGUUUUUGGUUUCAUAAGAACUCGCCUGUAGACGCUGUCAUGUACACCUCCAAAUAAAAUAAAAUAAAAAAAUUGAAGAGAAAAUCCAACAACAUUCAAAGGCUUCAGUCGUAGAGACACCCUAGUACUGAAGAAGUGCCCACAAGGACUACCAUUCACACAAUGUCUACACAUAUAAAUCUUCUAACAUUCAGUCGGAAGAGAGACGGGCACUGGUACUCAAGAAGUGCCCACAGAGACUACCAUUCACACAAUGUCUAUCUCAGGCACAAAAAACAACAAUCUCUCAGACACAUCACUCGUCUCUAGUGCUGUCCUUGAUCCACUCCAGAUACUUGUGAUUCCCCCCGGUGAUGGGCAUGGCAAUGACUUCAGGAACCCUGCAUCCAUAUUUCUAAUUGUCAGCUUACUCUCUCUCUCUCUCUCUCUAUAUAUAUAUAUAUAUAUAUAUUGGAACCAUGGCACUUACUCGUACUCAUGAUUGGAUUUCACAUGUUCAGUCAAUGCACCAAUAAGGGAUUCCCGGGUCUUUAUUAUCAGUAGUUCCUCAGAAUCUGUUUGUACCUGAAAAUUUAAUACACAAAGGCUGUAACAAAAUUACCUCCCAAAUCAAUAUUUUAAAUAAGAAAGAAUUCCAUUAAACCUUAGAAUCUAACCUUGCCAUCCCACCAAUAAACUGACUCAAUACCUGCAACCAUAAAAUGCACGCAUGCUCAGAGAAACAUCAAUUUGAAUGAUGUAUCUUACAAGUAUUUAUGAUAUAACCAUGGAUGUACAUCUUGUCAUGUCAAUAAAUUAUGACAAUAAAAAUAAUAAUCACCGACUAAUUCAAACAGUUAUUGCUUACCAGCAAAACAUCUAUAUUAGGAACCUGAGGAACUGUAUGGCCAUAGGCGUAAACAUAAAUUCUUUCGACAAUCAGGUCUAUAGUUGCUCAACUUCAACUUCAAAUUCCAAGAAAGGAACUGUAUGCCCAUAGGCGUAAACAUGCUCUCAAGCAACAAAAGAGCCGAAGCCAACAUCAAAAAAUUGUAGUUGUUUCUUGAACUCAUGAAAAAUACAAAAGAUGGCAUCAUAGGAAAGAUAGAUGCACAGUGUAGCAGCUUGUGUUGGAUAGUGCCAUCUAACACACAUGCUCUGGGCCAAAGAACUCUAAUAGGUAGAUGAUUCUAGCAAUGUUAGUCUCAAAAAUAUAUUGCACGGUUAAUGCUUUGAUAAGGACAUCAGCAACUGUUAAAGCACUAGCCCAUUCUCUCUCUUCCUCACUGAAUACUUAUGGGGCAUACAUUUAGUUGAAUUUAUUGUGACUUAUUUAAUAGAAAGAAUUACUAGUCAAACCAUGGACAAUCCAGAUUGAAGAUGAACACUAACAAUUUCAUCAGAUCCAAGAUACAAUAGGCAAUCCAGAUUGAAGACUUGUAUGGAUCCUUGUACUUAAAAGAUAACAAGAAGCUGUAAUGUCAAACAAAGUUUUCAAUAAUCAAACAAAGAGAUCUUUUGUGAUUUCUAAUUAGGAAUGAGCUACAUGAAUUUUUCCUACAAUUCAGCCCCAUUGAAGGCAAAAUCAAUAAUUAAACAAAGAGCAAUCUUUUUUUUCUGUGUGUGUGUGUUUUCUAAUAAAGUUCUCAAAAUUAGGAAUCUUAGAGACCUCCUCAUAUUCAUUGAACACAUACAUGAAUUUUUCCUACAAUUCAGCCCCAUUGAAGGCAAAAUCAAUAAUUAAACAAAGAGCAAUCUUUUUUUUCUGUGUGUGUGUGUGUUUUCUAAUAAAGUUCUCAAAAUUAGGAAUCUUAGAGACCUCCUAAUAUUCAUUGAACACAUACUUUAUAAUAUCAUAAUGAGUGCUAUGUUUUACACUAUAGAAUCACAAUGAUCCAUGGGAUUAUUUCCCAUAAAUGUUUCAAGAUAUGCUCAUCAUGAUACAUGCUUUAUAUUUUCAAUGUUCACACCAUUUUCAACAUUGACUUAUUUGCAUUACCAUAUUAAACAUUGACUUAUUUGCAUUACCAUAUCCAAUAAUGUAUAUAGAUUUGAAACCAACCCGAAAUGCCAGAUAUGGUCCUGUUUUUGGAUCAAUAAGCAUGUUGGAUUUGGUUUUGGAACUAGAUGGAUCCAGCCUGACAACUUCCAUCUAUGAUGUGCAAUCUCCAACAACAAAAGGAUAAAAGUUCCUUUUGACAAUUAUAUCAAAUUCUAAAACAGUAAAGUCACGAAGGAAAUGAUUUCUGAUAUUAUCUUACAAAGGAGUGAAGGAUAUCUCUAGCAAUGAGUUCAAAGAAAAUGCUACAUAUAAACUUUCAAGCAAGAUAGUUGCAUGUUGCUACAGUCAACAAGAUCUUCAUAAUUAAAUAAAUAUCUGCCGUAUACACAGAAUCUAUAAAACACUAAUAAACAAAGAUGAAAGGCACAAAACUUGAUAUGAAUUUAUUUUUAAGCAGGAUUAUCACAUGCCAUAAAAACAAAACUGAUGUACAUGCCUGGCACUCGAUUGACACAUGCAGCAAGUCUUUCCUUGAUGAUGCUUUCUGCAAGUUUCAUGCCUAUGUUUAAACAAGUAAAAUCAUUUAAUUAUGAAUUCAAAUAGCACUAGAAAAUUUGGAAAGGAACAUCAUAAUUAGAGAGCAACAGACAAAUUAGAGAAUAAAGUAGAUUUGCGUAAUUUAGAGAGAAAUAAGUCCAAAAGCAUGGAGAUGCAUUUGGUAUCAUGUUAAUAUCAUAAUUGUCUCAAACAACAAACUUAAACAUGCAUCCGACAGUAAAUUAGAUGCAAUAUAGUUGCCCAUCACUGUCCCCUCAACUAACGCAGAAAGAUGGGCAUCAGCUUAUUGCACAAAACUUAAUCAUCUACUAGACAUAGGAAAAAAAAUUUCCUUGUGAUUGGCGCAUGUACACAUGACAAAUGAGGGAUAACAUUACUACAUGAAGCCUGUUGCUGGAAGUGACAAAUUUUGAAACUUAUUUAGUAAAUCAAAAUGUUGUUCAUGCAUAAAUAAGAAAAUAAAUUGUAUACAUUUUGGAUUGGAAGAUCAAACCAAAAAAAAAAUUGGAAAAGCUUAUUAUUAUUCAAGGAAUGCCUAUAACCAAGAAACUUAUAAUUGAAAAAAAAUUUGAAUAAUUAUAUAAGAAAAACAUAUGGUGAAUAUAAAGGGGGUGCAUGGGGGGGAUUUGGAUAUGGGGAGAAAAAUUGAAGAUGAUAGUAUAAUUUUUGGAUUUUACAACUUCGUAUGAUCUUAUAAUUGUAAAUACCCACUGUAAGAAGAGAUACGAACAUUUAUUUACUUAUAAGAGUGGUCAUAACUGUAGUCUAAUAAAUAGACUUUCUUCUCACUCAAAGAUGGAUAAAAUUAGAAAGCAUGACAAAUCAACAUAAGUUGAUGGUAUUAGAUAUUUAGAAAAUGAAAGAAUAAAAAGAUAAUAGAAAAAACUACUAGGAUUAGAUGGUGAAAUUUUAAAAAUGAUAAUGUAAACACUUUUAAUAAUAAGAUGGAAAAAGAUGCAACUUAAAACUUAAAUAAGGAUAAUAUUAAUAUUAUUUGAACUACGAUGGCUAAUAAGAUUAGGAGCUUAACAAAAGAUAUUCUUAGUGAAACUAAAGGUAGAGGUGUAACGAUAAGAGAGAAUUGGUGAUGGUUCGAGGAAAUUUAAAAAAUAAUUUUUACAAAAAGAUCAUGUUUUAAAGAUUAAUAAAAUAAUAAAAAUAAGGAAAAACUUAAAAGAUAUAAAAAAUUAAAAAAGAGGCUACAAAAAGCAGUUAGUAUGACAAGAUAUAAAACUUACGAUAAUUUUUAUAAUAAAUUAGGUACUAAAGAUGGUAAAAAAGAUACAUAUCGAAUUAAUAAAGAUAGGAAAAAAAAAUAUAAGGAUUUAGGUAAUAUUAGAUGCAUUAAAGCCGAAGAUCAAAGAAUAAUUUUUAAUGACAAUGAGAUUAAGGAAAGAUGAAAAAUUAUUUUUAUAAAUUAUUUAAUGAAUAUUCCACACAAAACUUAGAUUUAAUGAUAAAUAAUAAUGAUAGAUUUAAUAAUCAUAUGUUUAUUCAGAAAAUUAGAGCUAAUGAAGUAAAAGAUGCAUUAAGGAAGAUGAAAAUAACUAAAGAGUAUGGGGCCUAAUGAUAUCCCUAUUGAGGUAUGAAAAAGUUUAGGGAACAAGUGAAUAGCUUGAUUAACUGGUUUAUCUAACAAAAUCAUGAGAUUCGAAAGAAUGUCUAAUGAAUAGAAAAAGAGUAUUCUAGUGUCAAUUUAUAAAAGUAAAGGUGACAUACCGGAUUGUUCAAAUUAUAAAGGAAUUAAAAUCAUGGGUCAUACUAUGAAACUUUAGAAAAAAAGUCAUCGAAAGUAGGAUAAGGCUUGAAACAAAUAUCUCUGAAAAUCAAUUUGGUUCUAUGCUUAUAAGAUCAAUCAUAGAAGCUAUUUUAUUAAGAUAGUUAAUGAAAAGGUAUAGGGAGAAAAAAAAAGAUGUGCAUAUGGUUUUUAUUGACUUAAAGAAAACCUAUGAUAAGGUUCCUAAAUAUUUAUUAUGGUAAGUUAAAAAAAAAUAAAGAUGUAUCCACUACUUAUAUUGAUGUUAUUAAAUAUACGUAUGAUAAUGUAGUUAUUAGUGUUAGAACUAUUGGGAGUGUAACUAGUGAGUUUCCUAUUAGCAUGGGAUUACACCGAGGAUCCACAUUAAAUCCCUAUCUUUUCACAUUGAUAAUGGAUGAAUUUACUAGUCACUUACAUGAUAGACCUCGUUAGUGUAUAUUAUUAGUUGAUGAAAUUGUCUUAAUCGAUGAGAGCUUAAGUGGAAUUAAUUAUAAACUUGAGCUAUAGAGACAAAUCUUAAAAACUAAAGGUUUUAGAUUAAGUAUAACUAAAACUAUAUAUAUAUAUAUAUAUAUAUAUAUAUAUAUAUAUAUAUAUAUAUAUAUAUAUAUAUAUAUAUAUAUAUAUAAUUUUAAUAAUUUUAGAAAUAGACAAGAGAAUAUAGUUAAACUGGAUGGACAAGAAACCCCUUUAAGUAAAUCAAUGAAGAUAUUAUUCAUAGAGUAAAAACGGGAUGAUUAAAAUGGAAAGAUGCAUCAAAGAGUCUUGUGUGAUCAUCAAAUAUCUUUAAGAUUAAUAGAAAAAUUUUAUAAGAUGGUUGUAAGAUCAACAAUGCUUUAUGGAUCUGAGCGAUGCGCAGUCAAGAAAAAACAUAUACAAAUAGUUUGUGUUGCCAAGAUAAGAAUGUUGAGAUGGAUGUAUUGCGUUACUUAAAAAAAAGAAAAAAAUAUUUUUAUUCGUGAAUAAGUAUCACUUCAACAGAAGACGCGAUAAGAUAAAAUCAUUUAAGAUGAUAUGAGUAUAGGCUGAGAGGACCUCCGGAUGCGGUAGUCAGAAAGGUGAAAUAAUUAAUGUUAGUGGUAUAAAAAAAGGUAGAGGAAGAUAAAAAGACUUUAAUAAAAACUAUAAAUAAAUAUUUAGGUACUUUAAACUUAACUAAACAUAUGGCUUUUUAUAGAUCUCAAUGGUAACAAGAAAUACAUGUAGCUAAUGUAAUCAUCGAUAAUUUUUUUCCUUAACAUAAAUUAAUUAAUAUAAAUGAUAUAUUACUUUAUUAUUUACUUCUAUAUUUGUGUAUUAUAGUUAAGGAAAUGAUUAGAUUUGGUUUCCUUAAUCAUAUGGAUAAGUUAGGAAUUCUAUUAAUCAAUUAAAUUAUUAAUUGAUUUAUUUCCUAAUGAGUGAUUUGAUAUUUAGAAAGUAAAUAGUUUACAUUCCAUUUUUAUGUGUGAACUAUAAAAAAUAAAUAUUAUAUUACUUUUUUUGUGUGUGAAAGCAAAUGUAAAAUAAAUUAAGAAUAAAAAUUAAAUUAUUACUUACCUUUCGGGGAGAUCUCAUCUUCUCCUAUAUAAAGGGAUUAUUCAUCCCUCAUUCUCAACUAGGCCUAACAAUAGGAGGAUUGAGGAGAUGAUUUUCUGGGGAGAUGAUAUCAAGGAAGGGAUAAUCGAAAAGAGGUAGGAUCCUUUCUUUUUAAUUAGUUUUGAUUUGUGUUUUGAAAUCUUGACAUUGAGAUUGUUACAAUUUUAUAAUGAAUAAUGAUGUUUUAAUUUCGAAAUUUCAUGAUUUUUGAAUAAUAAUAAUUGAUUUAUGAUGUUCGACUAAUUAUUUGAUUUGUAUUGAUCUUUUAAGCUUAAGUGAAUUUUAAUAUUGAUUUAAUUAUUAAAAUUCUUAUUUAGUAUAAUAGUUCUUAUUUAUUUAAUUAGUUAUAUCUAUAUUUCAAGAAUUAUGUGUGAAUUUCUGUAAUGUAAUUAGUUUUAAAUUUUAGAUCAUGAAUUUAAAGAUUUAAUUAAUUUAUUUGAAUAAUUCUUUAAUAAUUUUAAAUAUUAAAAUCUAAUUUGAUAAGAGGAGUCUAAUUGGGGUCUGACUUGAGUCAAGUUGAUCGAUCAGAUCGAAUCGACUCAGACCAUGUGAUCAUGUACAACCUAGCUUAUGUGACUAAGUACAACCUAGUCCAUGUGGUCAGGCAUAACCCAACCCAUGUGGCUAGGUACGAUCUAAUUCAUAUGGCCAUGUAUGACCCAGCCCAUGCGGUAAGGUACGACCCAAUCAUGUGGUUAGGCAUGGACCAGCUCAUGUGGCUAGAUACAAUCCAGUCCAUGUGGCCAUGUAUAACCCAACUCAUAUGGUAAGGUACGACCCAAACAUGUGGCUAAGCAUAGGCCAGCUUAUGUGGCUAGGUACAACUCAGUCUAAGUGGUCAGAUACGACCCCAACUCAUGUGUCUAUGAUCAAUUCGUGAGCCAAGCAUGGCCUAGUUCAAUGGUAAGGCCCAGCCCAACUUAUAAGUGAGGCUUAGCCUAGUCCAUGAAGUUAAGCCUGCCCAGCUACGUGAUUGAUAUUAGACAUAUCGUCGCUCCUUUUAUAUAUAGCCCGUCGUACCUCAACUCAACCUAGUAUUUGGAACAAGUAUAUGCAAUAUAUAUAACCCGCCCAAGACUCAGGUGGGUUGGUUCGGUUUGGGUUAGUACUAUACGACAUAGUCCAAUCUCCUUCUCUAUUGGUUUGAGCUCAUUAAUUGACGAAAUCAAAUAGGUUUGAUCAGUUAAAGCUGAUUUAGGGUGAUUCCAAACUAACUUGACUGGUUAAAACCUAUUUGACCUAAUCGAGAUCAAUCAAAUCUAAAUUAGACCGGUUUAGGGUGAUUCCAGACUGGUUCCAUAAGGAUUUGGUAUUGGUUUCGUUAGAUCAUAAUCGAAUUGAGUUUGGUUUAAGUCAAUUGAGCUAUUCCAAUUAGGGUUUUGAUUGAUUGAGGACUAUUGAGAUAUUGAUAUUUAAUUGAUAUGAUGAAUUUAAAGGUUUUAUCUGAAGAUGUCAUUUGAAAAUGAUUAUUGGUUUUCUAUGUUUAUGAUAUUGAUAUGAUAAGUAUCAUGUAGUAGAUGUGACUAGACUAGUAGUUCACAUUGGGAGUGCAACCUGUGAAAGGAGCUACAGGCCCAUCAUAGUGCGGAGCCACCAAUGAACAAAGUCUAGUAGAUUUACAUCAAGUAUAGUCUCUCAUAAUAUUUAAUCAUAUUGAUUUCUUGAUGUAUGCAUAAGUGAUUGAAUGAGUGUAAAUGAAUGAUCAUGGAUGUUAUGUAUCCCUACCGAGGGCAGGUACGGCGAUUCCCUUCGGGGAUUAGCGGGCCGUCAGACGUGAUGGUUAGACGGUUCCUCCGUCCGCUGUUGGGAGGAACGUGUCCCCACUUGGGCGGGUGAGGGAUACCACUCCAUCCGCUAUUGGGAGUGCGAUAUGGAUUAUCUCCAUCCGCUGUUGAGAGGAAUCCAUCCCGUGGAAUAUGCCUCUCCAUCCGUUGUUGGGAGAGCGCACCAUUGGGUGAUGUACGCCUUUGUUAUUAUGUAUGUAUUGUAUGUGGCUGAUGCAUGAUUUUGUUUAUUAUGCAAGAAAUUAUCAUCCUUUUUCUGAUGCAUAAGUUUUAUGAUGAAUAGAUAUAUUUUCAUAUUGAAUUAUUGAUAUUUGUUUAUAUUUUAUGAAUAUUAAAGAUUAUUUUUAUGACUUUUCUGAGGUUCCUACCAGCAUGUGUGGUUGCUGAUGUGUUUUUAUUUUAUAUUUAUUUUCAGAGUAAUCGACUAUUGUGUAAUAGAUCUGAAGCUUGGGUGGAAGAGACUUGUGACCCUGUGAAGAAGAUGUCAUUUUUCUAGCUAAUAGAAUAUCUAUUACUGUAAAGACAAUAAUUUGAAUUCAAAGACGAAUGAAAAGAAAAUGAGGGAGUUUAUUAUGUAAAUUAUGGAUAAUAAAUUACUGAUUUAUUAUUCUUUUUAUAAAUUCGGGAUGUCAUCAUAGCCUUCAUGGAAGAAAAUAAAUAUUAUUUUUUUAUAUAACUUUUCAUAAGCUUCUUCCAAGCUGAUUAUUGAACUUAUACCUUUUUCUUUUUUUUAAUCAUAUAUCCAUAUAAUGAUCUUCAUUCAAGGAGGAAGAGGAGGCGAUGGAGGAAGAGGCUGAGAAGAAUAGGCGAUGAAGCCAACAACAAUGGGCAUAUGAUGGAGAGAAGAGAAGGAGACACUCACACAUGCCCUAUGCAUCAAUGCUCGGACAUUUAAAAGAAAAAACCACAGUUGUUGGCUUAAGAAAAAGGACCAGAUCAGACUACCUAAAAUGGAGCGAUCUACCUCGAAUCAUGCUCAAACCAACUAUUAUUGAUCAGUACAAACACAAUUUAAUUCCAUGGUUUUGCCACACCUACCAUGACAAAACCUUCAGAUAGUUCAAGUUUAAUUACUUAAAUGUCCAUAAAAUUAUGUUUGUCACAAAAUUUGAAACUUUUAUUUUAUCCCUUGCUUUUCCUAUUCAACCAAAAUGUAAAUUUUUCUUGUCAAGAAUGGCAUAAAACAGUCUAUAAGACAUCAUAAUGGAUAUAGUAAAGCAGUUUAUGAAAAGAUUUCUUUUGAUUUAUCCAUGAAUUAGAUCUUGGCUCCAAACAUCCAGUUUGUAGUUCACUUGAAAUCAAGCGCAAAAAAAUAGAUGUCUCUAUGUGGAAAAACAGCUACAUUUUUAUGUAAGAUAUCAUAUUUGUGUUAUCAUGUUAGAAUGUCGAUCUCAAGAUUUACAAUUUUUUCACCCUGGUCAUUAGAUAAGGCAUAUUAUUUGCAAUAAAUUAGACCCAGAAAAAUGACAGUACAUGUAUUCAGCAAUGAAUUCUAUUUGUUCCAAAGUCAUGGUAGAUUGAGCUCUUCAGCAAACUUUUCUGUCUGAAAUUGUGCAGUAAACUGAACAUCAUGGUUCUUUUGUUUCAAAUAUCUAUUUCCCUUUAUAAAAGUACUCGUAUGAUCCACAACAUCAAAUUAUGUGUCAUUACAAGUUGUUGCAAGGUAAUGAAUGUAGUAUAACUAACAAGAAAGGAAUGGCAAUACAUAAUUUUAAUGAGACCUUUUUGUUCCUAAAUGAAAUAUUCAACACUUCAGCUUACUUUGUGUCAAAGAGAUCAUAGUGUGAACUCAACAUCAUGGAUUUUUUUCAUGAUAAUUUUAAUUUUGUAUCUUCAUUUUGUCAUGGAUGCUCCACUCCAGAAAGCACUUGUAGCAUCUAAUAAGACAAAUAACAACAGUUUUGACAAAUAAUUCAAGCUUAAUGAAUAUCACACCUAAUGAACACAGAAUAACUAUAUCAAACAGGGUGCUGACCCAAAGGUAUAUAUUGAUGGCACAAACAGCAUAUAUUUCAAGAGUCUGAAAGAUAAUAUAUACAAUGUGAUUAACCUUUUGUGUUAAGAAAGCUUAUGAAGAAACAAAAGUCUGCCAAAUAGGAUAUUGUCUUGUAAUCAAAAAAAGCUUGUGAAAAAUUCAUUGUUUGUAAAGAGUAAAGACAAUAGUUAAAGUUGUGCUAUGGUGAAUAUAAACCUAUCUGGACAUUUACCCAACAAACUAAAUGCAACAGAAACCAAUGUAAACCAUGUAGUUCCAUCCAUCAACAAAAUCUCAGAACCACAUUUGUAACUCAUAAGAUUUACAUUCACUAAAAUGCCAGAUUAGCAAGUCAGCAAUUAGAAGUAAAGAACACUUUAGAAGACAAACAAACCUGCUUCUCUGUUUGGUACAGUCACAUAGACAACAAUAGAUGGAACAGUAGUUGAAGCACCUUCCAUUAUAGUAGAGUGAAGACUUCUGUUGGAUGGCUGGUUAACAACCUUUGACCUGCAUAAACAGAAACAUUGAGCAGAGAGAAAAAAAAGACUGACAUAAGAAAUUAAAAGAAAUCUGCCAGAAGAAACCAUAAUAGAAUUUUCUUAUUGGUAAAAUGACCUGUUUAUGUGAGAAAAGACAAACAAACAGAAAGAGAAGGUUCCAACCUUCACAACCAAGAGAGAAUUUUAGUGGGGUACCAAACCUAAACCUACUGUGAGAACCAGGUACACUAGAACAACUGUAAGAUGGACCUGAACAUUUUUUCAGCCCCAGACUGACGAUAGAAACCACAUCGCAGUUCACAGCUUGUGGUGACAAAAGAAACAGGCUUUUCCAAAACAAAAGAUGCACCUGAACGAUACACACAAGAACAGAAGGCUUGCCUGCCUGAGGCACACAGUAUUUGCCAUCAAACAAUGGACCAGCUAUCAUCCACAAGAUGCUUGUACUAAUUUGCAAGAAUUGCUCUAGAGUUCUAGACAAUUCUGGAAGACAGUGACCCCUUGUAGCAUUCACUCAAACUUAGUUUACGAAGAUUGCAAUAAACAACUAAAAUAUGUUCCAUCUUGAGUAAAAAUUCUGUAAGAUAAAGUGAAUCUUUCAUAGCAAUCACUCAAACAGGUGAGACGUAGAGAUUUCUAUUCAGAGAUCUUGGCUGCACAACCACAACCACGAUGCGUUCCUUAAACACUACACGGAUGCAUGGAUACCUACUCGAGUUCAAGAACAAAAUACUUCACAGCACGAUCACCAACCCUGUUAUCAAGAUUCAAGAUCCUCAACGACCUUGUCAUCAAGAUUCAAGAUCCCGCUCUUCUUACGACAGUAUAUACAGAUACAAGAAAAAUAUAGCAAUCUAAUACCCAAGAAGAGAUGACAAGAACAUGAUCGAGAAGAACCAACGGGAAUCCCUCCAGAUUCCGGGUCCAACAAGCGAGGGAUUGAGGUUUUACCCGAGGAAAUGGAAGCGGCGAAGGGCCUGGGCACUGGCAAAGCCCGACCUGUAGGCGAUCGCGGAGAGGGUGCCGAGGCUCAGAAUACAGAGCGCCCCGACGAGCGGAGCGCGGCGUCGAAGCGUUGUCGGCGCCGACGAAUGGCGGCGAGGUGGAGCGGCGCAGAACGCCGAGACGGCUCGCGAAAGGCUUCCAAAUGGCAUCUCCUCCGCCCCACUCUUCUUUUAUAUAUAUAUAUAUAUAUAUAUAUAUAUAUAUAUAUAUAUAUAUAUAUAGUCUAUUUAUUUCUCUGGUUUUACGCAUCUAUCCCUUCAAAGCUUCGUAAAUCACAUAUGUGCCGCUCCAAAUCUUAAUAUAACAUCUACACAGACACACACUGCCCUUAUAAAAUACCAAACCUACUCUUUACUGUAAUCAUCAAAUUCUUUGAUCAUUUCAAGACAAAUUUGGGAGAAUUACAUAUACACAUAUAAUAUUAUGAUUGAUGAUCAUGCUUUUAUCUACUACCACAUUAUGCAUUUUGAUGUCAAACCAAAGCUAAUAUGUCCUCUUUCCAAGCCAUAUGAUGCCAUCAUCAUUUACUUAGGACAAAAAGGCUGCUCCUUUAUAAUCCUCCUCUCCCCUUCUCUUCCACCGCUUACAGGCAUCAUUUCGACAUUACUGUCAUCCUCCACCUUCCACUGCCUUCGCAAUGUCAACUGCUCACUUCACUGAAGACCAAGAACAUGAAAAGUUUCUCCUCGAGGCUUCUUUCUCUCCCUCUAAAGAGACCAUUUUGAGGAGCAGGGAAGGAAGAACGGCCUCGAAUCUGGAUUUGUCCUGCAGCUUUGAUCUAUCUACAAUGGGCGUGAGCUAUAGAUUUGCUUCCUCCGUCCUCCUCUGCCCGGAAGACGGCAAAAGCAUCCUGGGAAGUGAUGAUGAGGAGAAACAAGAGCAGGGCCUCAAUGGAGAGGUUGAAAGGCGCAGCCUUUGCCAUUUCCCUGGCGAAGGGGGCGAUUUUUAUGGGGAACCUUUGCCGUCUGAGGAUCGCAUCGCCUUGAUGGUUGAGAGGGAGUCCCAUCAUCUCCCGGAGGGAGACUAUGCCGGGAGGUUGAGGAGGGGGCAGUUGGACCGGGCUGUGAGGAGUGAUGCCAUUGACUGGAUUCAGAGGGUGGGUUGAGUUGUUCCUUGCUUUCUUGUAUUUCUUCAUCUCUGGAUUCCUCAGCACAAUAUUUUCCCAGGCCCUCGUUGUUUCUCUGACAAGUACUGGGAGUGCAGGACCAUCUGAUCCCCGAAAGCAUUCAUCAACUUAAUUAGAGUUUGUUCUUAGUUCUACUUUUCCCCUCCAUCGUGAUAACUAGUUUUGCAUUUGCUUUCCUUCUUUGCAGCUGAAGUUAUUUGUGCCUACAAUAGUCAAAAUUGAUCUUUUUAAUCAAAGUGAUAAUUCUCUCUUUCCCAAUAUCUUCAUGGUGUAGAAUUUACUUGGUAACUAUUUGGUGUUUGUUUCCGAAUGGACAGGUUCAUGCACAUUACAAGUUUGGACCUUUGAGUGCCUACUUGUCUGUGAAUUACUUGGAUCGGUUUCUCUCCGCUUACAAACUACCGGUAAGAAAAGUUACAAGAACACUUGUUUCCUUAAUGUGAUCUCUAUCUAUAACAAUGUUGACAAAGUAGCAGGAAAAAGUUCUUUCUUCUUUUCCCUUUAAUUUAAUUGAUUAUUUCAGCAAGGUAAGGCUUGGAUGACACAAUUGUUAUCAGUGGCCUGCUUAUCCAUUGCUGCCAAGGUGGAGGAAGCCGAGGUUCCUUCGUCUCUAGAACUACAGGUAAAUGAAAAGCACUACUUUUCUUUUUUUUUCUAUGUACAUGGUAAUCUAGGACGAUAACUUCUCAGUUGCCGAUCGGUAAUUUCCUUUCGGCCAAACAGGUAGGAGAGGCAAAAUAUGUAUUUGAGGCCAGGACCAUACAGAGAAUGGAGCUUCUAGUGCUUAGCACCCUCAAGUGGAGGAUGCAAGCAGUUACACCCUUCUCAUUCGUUGAUUACUUUUUGUAUAAACUCAGUGAUGAAAAGUCACCAGAUAGCUUACUAAUUUAUCGCUCUAUGGAUCUCAUUUUGGGCACAAUUAGAGGUCAGUGAUUUGGAGUAGUACAUAAUAUAUGGAUCUCUAGUUUGAUAUGGCAAGCCUAACAUGAACUUGACUGUAACCUUUUUGCAGAGAGUGAUUUUCUAGAAUUCAGACCUUCGGAGAUUGCUGCAGCGGCUGCACUGUCAGCCUUGAAAGAGACUCAAAAUUCGGGGAUUGACAUGUCUUUAACAUGCUGCAUCCAUGUAGAUACGGUAAGAUAAUCCAUCUGUAAUGCAUUACUUCAAUGAACAAAUUCUAUAUAUGUUUGAAGGACCUAGUUUUAAAUUGGUUUGCACCAUGGAUUCAGGAAAGAGUCUUGAGGUGUCAUCAAGUGAUUCAAGAGAUGACUUUGAUGAAGAACAGGACAUAUAGUGACAACAACAGUCCAUCAGUUUCUACUGUGACAAAGAGUCCAAUUGGGGUACUGGAUGCUGGGGUCGCGAGCUAUGAGAGUGAUGAUACAACAGCUGGAUCACAUGCAGAUUGUCAUCAUUCCUCGCCAGCUACCAAAAGGAGGAAACUAAACAGGCCAUCAACUUCGUGAAAGGAGGGAAAUUUUGUGGUGUUUCCUUGUUUGAUCGAUAUUCCGAAUCAGUUUAAUUUGUUACGGAGAGCUUUGUCGUGGCCAGCAUGUGCCUGAAGAUGUAACUAGCUUUAAAUCAGUAGAGGAGAAAGGGGAACAAAGGGUUUGUGAAUUCUAAGUUCAUCCAUGUACACCUGACGAGAUCCACAUUCUUAGAGCAUAAUGCAUGAAUGCAUGGUCGAUAAUGAGAUAUAUCAGGCUGGAUCUUUUAAAUGUGUGAGAAACUCAUAUUGUCAAACAAAAAUUGAGAAAACAUGAUGUUUUUUGUUUCUGCUUUUUGUUCUUAGGAAUAUUACAGAUCUUAAUUCAUUUUGUGAUUCGAAGAUGAGCACUCUCUUGCACCGCUUGCUUGGUCUUUGUUUGUUUCUGUUUCUCACAUAAAUGCAAACAAUAGGAUGGUAUUCUUCACCUUGUUUCAGAUAAAAAAGAAAACCCAAAAAAUGAAGAUCCAAGAGAGAAAAUUAGAAUCAAAAGCAUGUAUCCCAUUGGCAUUCCUCUGAUUACUUGCUCCUGUAUCUGUAUUUUUCGCCAUGUCCUUGCAUUGUUUGACUGCUUGUCUGCUUAGACUCUUUGAUUUGCUGCCCCUUUGAUAUAAAUGCAGAAGAGCCCACUCUUCAGUACAGAUCCAGUGAUGGCAAAGGUACAGACAAGGAUUAAAUAUUUAUAGGGAGGAGAGUUGGUGGACCUUUAGGAAUAUUCAGGUCCCAGCAUCAGCUGUCAAAACAAUGUAAAUACACUGAGGGAUCAUUCCCCUCCUGCCUUAGCAUUUGUUUUACCUUCAUCAUAUGUAGACAAGGAUGAGUACUUCCUAAGUCCCAAACUUGUGUCUCCUGUGGUUUCUUGUGUUGGUGUCUGAGAGCUUUGAGCUACCUGCCUGUAUGUGAGAGUGAUACUUGUCAGGUUCCUAAGACACUUUCAUAUUGAACUUUUUUACUAGUUUACUAUGGGAAAAAUAUUUUUUAUGUUCUCUGGUUUUGAAUGCUGUUGAGGAAACUUCAGAUACAUCCAAUUAAGAUGUUUAUGGAUAAAUAGUUAGCUGACAGCUUGUUUAGCAGGCAAUUUGGUUUGUUUAUUGUCAUUGAUGGGCUCCAUUCCAUUUGCAAUGCUGCUUGCCUGCUGGUCUUCUUACUAUGGCAGGUGUGCCUGUGUCAACCAAUACUGGCAUAAGCAGGAUGAGUUCCUUCUGAGACAAUGAAAGAGAAAGUUUGGCCCUUUGGAAGUGCAUGAAAGGGACCAAAGAGAAAUUGCUUUAUUGAUGCAUGGGGAAAGGAAACUUGUGUACAAUAUCCCACAGGGAACUGUCAUGAGGGAGGGUGAUGCAGCUUCACAAAUACAGGUAGGCUCUUCAGAUACAUAUGUCUCUACUGGCUCAUGCUAUAAUCUUUUAUUCAGGGUAGAACUCUCACCAUAAUUGUGAAUUUCUGCUCUAGUGACACUGACAAAGCUUGAUGCACAAAUGAAUCAUGUCUUAUAAUAAUCCAUAAUGAUAUAAACUCAACUGUGUGGAAUGUCUUGAAGAGCCAAUGCUGUGCAUGAAGGUUUCAUAUCUACAUUUCAGUUAGAAUCAGAGCUGCUAGAAAUGUUCAUAUUCACAUGAACUUUUGCAGUCAUGCUUAGUUAUCAAAAUCAUUGCAACUCCUACUGGCACACAUAUGGAAGCAAUUUAAUGCACAUCUCAAGUUCAUGAUUCCUACAUCCAGCCUAGUGUUAAUUGCUGAUCAAUGUGACUCCCACAGUGAUGGGCACAGCCAAUAUGAAAAGAAGAGUACAAAGCUGAAACAAUUCUAAAUGUUUAUCCUAUCUAAAGCUUAGAACAUAAAGACAACCAAUGUCAGUUUGGAAUCACAAGAGAUGAGACACAAAGCCAUAGAUUAGAUACCUUUAGAACUGCUGUAACAUGGGAUUCAUCUUUUACACCUCCACCGCACUCUGAUUCCACCAGUACAGUAGAAGAUAGGAAGAGAACACUAGUUUAAAGGAUCUCUUCACUCUUUAAUAUGUCCCACCUAACAUGCUCCCCAGCACGCCCGGCGGAGAUGGUCCACUGGUCUCUCUCAAGACUGUGAGAUGCCAAGUUGUAGCAAGGAAUCCUUUUCGAUCUGUACCCUUGCAAACAGAGAGUGAGUCGAAGAUAUCGAUUCUAUUUUUCUUGAUAACUCCAUUCCUGUUGUUCUGAAGUGAGACUUCAACUACACUCUAAGAUCUGACAUCGAAACUAGAAGAGAUUGCUUCCCAUCUUUCUGGGGCCCAACACAUCAUGUUGGUGACUGUAAUGGCUACCUGGAUCGAACACCUUGUGUGCAUCUCAAUGCCCAGAAAUAUUAUUAGUCCAUGGAGAUGCUUGUUUAGGUUUCGACCGGAGAUGGAAGUAAAAGACAAGGGAGGACUGAUUCAGGUCGGGCCACUGCCUGUAGAACAUAGCUGACUAGGUCAAAGAGCCUGAAGCUCGGCACAUCUCCUCCUGUUCUUCCCAUUAAGAGGAGUCAAUGACAGGGUUAUGAAGGAUGAGACGAGUAGUAUCACCUCAUAAUUCAACUUGGUCGGAAGGAACACGGCAGGUGGGAAGGACAUGAUGACUGAAGAGGAUCCAUUAUUGCCUCGUGAUCAGCUCAAUGGAGUUCAACAGCCGACCCAGUCGUGGGGAUGAGCAGCUUGUGCGCACUCCAGCCUUGUGUCUGGAAUUUGGAAUGCUGCUCCACAGAUUCUGCCAACCGAUGAGACUGUCGGUGAGCAUUGAAUUCUCACAGGACACAUGAUGGCCCAUCACGUACAUUACAAGGCACUCUCCUGUACAGAGAAUGAUACGUGGAGCUCCCACUCAACCAGUCCAACAUAGACGAAGUAUUAUUAGCAGCAGCAGAAUAAGUCUCUCUACAUUGAGUCUAUAUAUAUAUAUAUAUAUAUAUAUAUAAUUUGUGAUGUAUCAAGUAGGAGUCGGAACAUAUCAUGACAAAACUAACAAAAAUCUAAUAAGAUUCAUCUUGUAAUAAAGAGAGCAUAUCACAAAUGGAUUACGAAAUCGUUACGGGUUAGGUACGAUAUGAAUGGUAUUUAUCUGUUGAUCUCAAUAUGCGUACCGAACUAGAUAUGCCAAAUAAACCGAUCCAACAUCAACCCAUGAGUGAGUUAGAGUUAGAUAUAACAAUGUCAAAAUCAUGUUGUGUUCAGAUGAUAUAAAUUAUAUGGUUCUGAGUGUUAGGAGGCUUUUGUGUGCUGACUUCUGUGAUGUAAAUUAUAAGGUCAUGCACAAGAAGCCCAAAAAUAAAUGGUUAUAUCAUAUAUUAGCAAGUCUUAACCACUAUGAUUAAAACAUUUGGCUUGCUUACAAUAGUAACAUUGCAUGUAUCAUAUUAAGCCUUCUCCACACAUGCAUGCCAAUGAUGACAACCAUCACCACUUGGUCAAGUCAAAAGACUGCCACAAAAAUAUCAAGCCAUGUCGCAAUCACAUGCCAAUCAUCGAUUACGCAUACACCCUAUGUUCCACAUGUUCUUCAUCGUCUCCUACCUUCGACCCUCUCCCUCUCUCUCAUGCUUUCUCCCCUCUCCUCCUCCAGGAAGCGGGAUGGCGAGCUUGGGAGGUGGAGAGUCGCCGCCAGCGGCGGUCUGUUGCAUGUGCGGCGAUCACGGCUUGCUGCAGGAGCUGUUUCAGUGCAAGGUCUGCCUCGUUAGAUCUCAGCACAGGUAAGCCUUCACAUCCUUCUGCUUUAGCAUUGUUCAUGUUUGCAUGCUGCAGUCUUGGAUAUAUUGGUACCAUAAGCACGGCUGAGGAGCCUAUCACAACUCCUCAUUCUUGUAGGCUUUCCUCUCCGAUUGGGUAGCAUGCAGGAAGAGGAUUUUGAUCUGUUCUUUUUCUUAGAUCGGUUGCACACGAAAACUACACCCAUAUAUCAUGAGAUCUUCAGGAAAUCUCAAACAAAUAGAAAGGUAUACGACUUGUCGAUGAUCAAACCGAACCGCAAGCCAUAAAUCUAGCAAUUGAAUUUGAUCAAUCUUUUCUUCUUUAAUCUGCCGAACAUGACUGACAAAUCACCGUAGUCUAUCAUUGGUUGUACUAAUCACCAAAUUGUUGUCUCACUUGGAUUGGCAUCGAUCAACCAGAUACUGCAGCGACCUUUAUCCGAAGUCCGAGUCAUACCGAGCAUGCAAUUGGUGUCUAAGAGAUGGAGGAGCAAAAGGUCUUGCGGGAGAUGCCAAAAGGUCAACCUCUUCCUGCAACGCCAUGGACCGUCGAAGCAGCGGCAGUACUGGCACAGGAGUCAAGGUCCACCGUCAGGCUUCUCCGUCACAGCUGAGCAAGCCCAUCAAGAAGCUGAGACUGCUGUUGCAUCGAUCGGCGUCGGACAUAACCGAUCGCAUGCGGUCGGAAGAGCUUUCGCCCAGCUUCGGUAGGGGGAGGCAGGUCGCCAAGGGAAAGAUCAGAAGGUACAAACUCUUGGAAGAGGUCCCGAGCUAAUCUGCACACCAACCUAUGGCAAGUACGUAGUACGUGUGCGCGAGAAAGGAAGGACGGCUGCUUCUGCUGCAUUCAGCUGUAUUAUCUUAUAUUAUCUGCAAGUGUACAACUCUUUGGCUCUCAAAAAUGCAUUCGAAGUUUCAAGACAUGCAAUAAAGAUACGAUGGGAUGUAUUGUCUAAUCUAAUAGGUUGGAGAACUCGAUCUCUGUGGUCUGCGCUGCUCUCUGAGGCUUUACGGUAUGAGUGUCUCAGGACAACCAUUAGGAGCAUAUCUUCUUACCAUAAGGAAAUAAAAGGUGCAUGAUGUGAUGAAGGACAAACAUUUGAUGAUUCCUGAUAAGGAAGAAGAUAUAGAUAUUAGAAUGAUAAGUAAUCAAUUUAUUCUUAGGUUUUAGCGGGGAAUAGAGGAUGGGAGAAAAUGUAAAAGAAAUUCUUCAAAAUUUACAUAGACGGAUAUAUAAGAGUUGAAAUUAACUCAACGGUGUUUAUAUUUGAUUUGAUAUGAUAAAAAAAAAUUUAUUUUUUUUAAUGGACGUACAAGAGGAGUACCCAACCAAUUUCAUUCUAUGAUAACAUAGGGUUGUUGGAGUAAACAACCUGGAGCCGUGGCCUCGGGGCCGACGCGGCUCGGUUCGGGUCCGGACGACAGGGAUCUCCUUGGGGCAUCCCUCGAGCCCGCCGAGGUGGUCGCGCUGAGGUGGUCCGAUCAGGACGGGGUGGCCACUUCCUCCGGGCAGGAGCUUCUCGCCUGCGAGUCCCGCGGGGACCUUCGGCUCCGCACCUACACAAAGGUCGGGUCGGGAAGCUCGAACCGACCCCUCCAACGAUCAAGUUAGAUGAUUGUGGAGGGGGUUUCAGAUGAAGAAGUGUUUUUGUGUGUCUCUCCCUCCCGCUUUCCAUUCAGAAUGCGAGGGUAUUUAUAGGGAAGCUUACUGUUUCCUGAUGUGCCCGCUUGUAGAGGGUAGGCUGGUAGCAUCUGACACCAACGUUGGCGUGGCGUGAGGAACCGAGCAUGGGCAGGCGUUAAUGCGCCUCGGCCGAUGUUCUAGUCCGUUUGACCAGGUGUUGUCGCGUUGAUCGAGGCAUGAGGCGUCAUCUAACGUCAGCCGAGUCUUAUCAUAAUUACUAUCCUCAUCAUAUUUCCCCCCGGAAAUAAGCUAUGCGUCGGUCGUUGUAACGGGAGUCCGAGGCAUGGCUUCAGCUUUCAGGCGGGCUGGCCGCGCAAGCACGGUCUCGGGGAGCAUGGAGCCGAGGGGCACGACGCAGGAGGGCUGGCCGCGCUGGUGUGUCUUAGGGAGCAUGGGACCGAGGAGCUGAGGAGCACGACGCAGGCGGGCUGGCCGCGCAGGUGUGAUCUCGGGAAGUAUAGAGCCGAGGGGCAUGAAGCAGGCGGGCUGGCCGCGUAGGUGUGUCUCGGGGAGCAUGGAGUCGAGGAGCAUGAUGCAGGCGGGCAGGCCGCGCAGGUGUGGUCUCGGGGAGCAUGGAGCCGAGGAGCACGACGUAGGCGGGCUGGCCGUGCAGGUGUGGUCUCGGGCAUCAUGCGACCGAGGAGCACGACGCAGGCGGGCAGGCCACGCAGGUGUGGUCUCAAGCAUCAUGCGGUCGAGGAACACGACGCAGGCGGGCAAGCCGCGCAGGUGUGGUCUCGGACAACAUGGCCGAGGGGUGGCUCGGGUGGCAGGUCGCCCUAAGGGGGGCUCGGCAAUCUACGGCCGAGGGAUAUGGCAAAGGCCGAGGGACACGGCUCAGGCGGGCAGGCCGCCCUGAGGUGGACUCGGCAGUCUACGGCCGAGGGACACGACCUAGGCGAGCAGGCCGCGCUGAGGUGGACUCGGCAAGGACACGGCUCAAGCCGAGGGACACGGCUCAAGCGAGCAGGCCGCGCUGAGGUAGACUCGGGUAGUCUACGGCCGAGUCAUGUAGAUUCAUAAGGGUUUAAGUCGGGGCUAACCGCAAGCCGAGAGGUGGUCAAGCAGAUACUGAACCUUCGUUCGGAAGAAACUGAGGCAGGGCUUAGAUUUCUUUUCAUGAGGACUACAUCGGGUAGCCACCGCGGGUGCUUGACCUCUCUUAUGGAGCCCGCGGUCGAAAGUCGUCCCUUCUCCUCACGGUCGCCCAGGCCUCCGCUGUGAUGUACCGGUUAGCUCACUGGAGCAUCUCUGGCACCGUGGUGGGAGGUCGCUCUGUGAGGGACCAGAGGAAUCUGGAAGGUCACAGGCCUAUCAUAAACGCCUGCACUAACAAAGAGGGGUGAGUGUCCGAUAAACCUCGGAUUUGCGUGGCAAAGCGAUCCACAAAAUGUGAGAGGGGCUCGUCCUCCCUCUGUUUGAGUAUGAUGAGCAAUGCCGCGGAGGGCUUUGGUCAUGCAUAGGCUACGAAGUGGAGCUUGAAGUCAUUGGCGAGCUGGUCGAAGGAAGCAAUCGUUCCGGUCUUCAAGCCGCCAUACCACGCGUGGGCCAGCCCUCUAAGAGUGGUAGGAAAUGCUCUGCACAUCAGGGCAUCAGAGGUUUCGUAUAGCGCCAUUUGGGCGUGAAAAGCGGCUACGUGGUCCGCCGGGUCGGCGGAGCCAUCGUAAGCAUCCAGCGAGGGGAGCUGGAAGUCCAGGGGGACUGUCAAAUCCCGUAUCUCGGGCGUGAAGGGAGACCCUUGGUGUGCCUCCUCCCCGAGCUCUCCCUUGGACCUGCGAACCUCUUUCUGCACCUUGUCGAGUCGCUGGCUGACGAAGCGCAACUGGGCCCGCAGGAAAUCCGAAGAGAGUGCCUCGGGUUCUGGGCGGUCGCUCGGGUUUGCCAUCACUGGAUCCCCGAGUGGGGCCGGUCGAACCCGAGGCGAAGUGGGCGCCUUGCGUUGUCACAGUGGUUCGAUUGCCGACGGGUGCGCCGACUGAGAAACGAGCGAGAUAAUGGUUUGCACCAUUUCCAUCAGAGCUUGGACUUGACGGGCGAGGUUCUGAAAGGCCUUGGAUGACACGGGCAUUGAGUCGGCUAGGGCGCUGUCGGGCGGCGACAAGCCCGGGUCGUUGAAUAUUCGCCAAUAUCGUUCGGAGGUCGUGGCAGGUUGUUCGUCACGAUGGUCUCCGUGAGGGGGAUGUUCCCCCGAGGCUUGGGUCGGGUGUGACCUCUCAACCGUGGACUCAUCUGAGCCGCUCGGGUGAUCACCCGACAUUCCGGGCCCUCCUUCUAGCGCCAAAAUGUUGGAGUAAACAACCUUGAGCCGUGGCCUCGGGGCCGACGCGGCUCGGUUCGGGUCCGGACGAUGGGGAUCUCCUUGGGGCGUCCCUCGAGCCCGCCGAGGUGGUUGCGCUGAGGUGGUCCGAUCGGGACGGGGUGGCCGCUUCCUCCGGGCAGGAGCUCCUCGCUCGUGAGUCCCGCGGGGACCUUCGGCUCCGCACCUGCACAAAGGUCGGGUCGGGAAGCUCGACCCGACCCCUCUGACGAUCAAGUUAGAUGGUUGUGGUGGGACUUUCAGAUGAAGAAGUGUUUUUGUGUGUCUCUCCCUCCCUCUUUCUGUUCAGAAUGCGAGGGUAUUUAUAGGGAAGCUUACUGUUUCCUGAUAUGCCCACUUGCAGGGGGUAGGCUAGUAGCGUCUGACACCAACGUUAGCGUGGCGUGAGAAACCGAGCCUGGGCAGGCGUUAAUGCGCCUCGACCAAUGUUCUGGUUCAUUUGACCGGGUGCUAUCGCGUUGAUAGAGGCGUGAGGCGUCAUCUGACGUCAGCCGAGUCUUAUCAUAAUUACUAUCCUGGUGAAAGAUCUUCUUCUUCGAUAAAGCUUAGCAAGAAUGACAAAAAAAAAAAGAGUAACGAAUACUCAUUGAGAUUAUGAAUUCAAAUAUGUAAAAAGUAUUUUGUUAUUUAGGAUUUAUUUAUUCUAUAAAAUACUUCAUAUAUCCUAACAAAACUUAACUACUAAUCAUAAAUAAAGAUAUACAUAUAUUUAAAUUUAAUUAAAACUAUUUUGUAUAUUAGUCUCAAGGUUGAAAAAAAUACUCAGUCCUAAAUAUUUGAAGCAUUAUGAUUAUUUAUUAUUGUAGUAUAAAGAGUAUUCGAUACAUUCUCACUAGUAAAUAAAAUAUAUAUAUAUAUAGCAAUUUUAUGGCAGUAAAUUUGUGCACACUAAUUUUAAAAAGUACGUAAUAUUUUUUUCAUCACUAAUAAUAUAAAUAUUAUCAUUUUGCAUUUUACAAUCGUAACAAUAAUAAGAAUGGAAGUAUUAAUAUAUCUCACGUGAGUAGCACGGCGAAUGGGUAACGAGCACGCGUUUCCUUGGAGAACGCUGUCCUUCGGGCGAUAUCCUUCGGGCCCCAUUCGGACACCUUCCAACCCUCCAUCGAAUCCCUUUGGAUCGAUCUCCGCAGGAAGCGAAUCGCAGCAGCAGAUAUCGCGAUUCCAGAAGGCGCGCCGCCGCGAUGGAUACCACCGCCGAUCACGGCGGCAAGAAGGGCCCCGACGGCGACCGUUCCGCCAGCUACGCCCCCUACCCAAAACUCACCCCGGAAGACAUCGCGCCGCCCCCCGCGGCUGCCACCACCAUGCCGCCCGAAUCCAACCCCUAUGUCGUCCCCUCCGCCGCUUCAUCCUCCUCCAACAGUACGAUCGGUUUCCUCUCUCUCUCCCUCAGUUUAGAUCAAUUGGGUUGCCCGCUCGGUCCUCGUUUGAAGGAUUGGAAUCUGUUGAAUAGAUACGAUGGACACGGUGCGCGUUGUGCUCGAGAAAUUUGGGAAGAAGGUCAAUGUAGCAGCGAAGAAAACGGAGGAUUUUGCCGGGGAUUUUUGGCAGCACUGUAAGUAGUAAGAUUCUGCUGAUUUAUCUUUCUUAGGAGGUGAACCAUGUACUCUGUUCUUUGACCAUUAAUUAGGUCUAAGAAAUAUGGCGAGAGGAUUACAAGGAACUUUCAUAUCAGUUCUGUGAUGCACUUUUAAGGCUGUCUCCGAUCUGGAGUUGAGAGGAGGUGACUCUUUGGUUACAGUUUUCACUCUGAAUAAACACCACCAAGUUAGUAGCGCAAAUUACUAAAUGUUCCACUUUCUCUACCAAUCUGAGAAUAAUGAAUUAGGGGAACACUUUGGUUUGUAGAUCUUUAGAUAAAAUCUGUUACCCUAAGAUACUGGAAUGUUGAUAAAGAUCAUUUUGGACAAUGCUGAUACAAAGUUCCCGUGACAAGUGAAAUGUGGGAGAAAGUUGGCAUCAACAAUCAACUGUGGGUGACUUAGGAUUACACCUGUAUUCUAGCCUACAUGUAUUUCGAUAGAAUUCAGAUAGAGAUGAGGGAAGAGGAUCAUGAAAUGGUUGGGGGCAUGAAUUAGUUUUCUGCUCAGGUUGAGGAUCGGUCGCUGCGACAAACAUAAAUAGGUUAUUUGAUUUAUCUGGAAUAAGGAUAGAAAAUCAACAGACAAAUAGAAAACGUAUACUCAAAUAAUAUUUUUAUAUUAUAUUGAUUUGGGGAUAUUUGAUGCCUAAAAUCUGUUGGAAUUUUACAGACCAGCUGAUAAGGGUAGUAAGGUCUGUGCUUGAUGUCCUUGCUUUUGCUUACUUUAUCAAGCAUGAAUUGGCUUCACAGUUAUGUUAAUGCAUUAUCGUGCAGGUCCGGUGACUGUGUGCCGUCAAGAUCUAUGAUCGAUUCUUGUUAUGCAUGCCCUUGUUUCCGUUUCCAUUUUGGUAUUUUUAAUUUUUUCUGUUUGUGAUUAUUGAUAUAAUAUUUUUCCUUGUUUCAGUGAAAACAGGACCUAGCAUUGCUGAUGCAGCUAUGGGGAGGAUUGCUCAGACAACAAAAGUCAUAAGUGAAGGUGGCUAUGACAAUAUAUUUCAUCAGACUUUCAAGACACUUCCUGAAGAGAAACUUAAAAAGACAUAUGCGUGCUAUCUGUCGGCGUCGGCUGGUCCUGUUAUGGGGGUUUUGUACCUCUCUACUGCUAAACUUGCAUUCUGUAGUGAUAAUCCUCUGUCAUACAAAGUCAGGGAUCAGACUCAAUGGACAUAUUACAAGGUACUUCAUAAUCAUUAGCAUUUGCAACAAAGUUAUAGAGACCACUGACAAGAUAUUGUGCCUUGAAUAUCUAAUCUAAUCCCAAUAAGAUAUUGUGUUUGUUGACAAUUUUUCUUGUAAUUUUAUCUCGAUCUAGUUUGCUCUUGAAAAAGCCUUUCUAUGUUGAUGACCAAGGUUGGAACUUUAUCUUUUGCGCAGAGGCCUGUAUGCUUCAUCCAUCUGUAGCAUCGAUAUCUUUGGCAAAGAAAAAUUCCUAUAUGAUUUAUUGAAUGCUCUUUCUUCAGUAAUGCCUAUACGAUUCAUAGCAUACUUUUAUUCUUGCGGCCCACAAUAUAAAUGUGACCAGUGAUGCUUCAGACCAAAUAUGUUAAUACCCAUGUUCCUAGAUGUCUUUACCUUGACAUUUCCAUAGAAUGUUAUGAUCCAUUGAUAUAGUAAUGAAAUUUAUCAAUCAAAGAAAUUUAUAUGAAGAAUCGAUUAAAUUGACAAUUAACUUGUAUUUUAGGUGAAAUCAAAAAAUUUUCAGUUAUCUAUCAUUGCUGUGCAAGUUUGACUUAUUUGUGUGAUACUUUUGAUGCUUUAGUGUUUUCCAUGAUCAAGCUACUCCUCUUACCGUCAAUUUUAUCCUUCACUAAUUUACUUUUGCCUUCCAAGAGGCAAUUGUCUUGAACACAAUGCAGCUACUCAGAUAUGUUUUGCAUUUGGAAGACAUCAUUGGAGCUUUAAACUUACGCAACAUGAGCAUUCUCAAUAAGAUAGCAACGACAAUAAAAAUGUUACUCUCCUGUCAUAGAUUCUUUUUUUUUUUUUUGCUCUCUCUUUGGCACAAGAUUAUGUCAUCUCUAUGUUUAUAAUUUCACUAAUACUUUUAUGCUGGAGGGAGAAAUAAGAUCACUGUCGGUGGCUGCUCUUCACAUAGAUAACUCUGAUUUUUCUCCUUUUGUCAUCUAUACAGGUGAUAAUUCCUCUGCAUCAGAUCAGAUCAGUUAAUCCAACAGCGAGCAACGUAAAGCUAGGCGAAAAAUACAUUCAGGUUGUUUCGAUCGACAACCAUGAGUUCUGGUUCAUGGGCCUUGUGAACUAUGAUAGUGCUGUCAAAAACCUACAGGAAGCUGUGCAAGAUGCCCGCAUCUAAGUUACUCUGAUCUUUUCUAAACCUGCACUGGCAAUUUUCUUGAAGUUCCGCCUUCAUCAUCAAAAGAAUUUGUUCAUUGUAAAAAAUACCAUGUGUUUGAUUCCUCAUCAAAUAAUCGUUGUUCUCGUUACUAUGAUUCUGAUCAAUUAGUGGUUGUAUCAUGCUCAUUCUUGUCAAAAAAAUCAUUGUGCUUCAGAGGCAAUUUCUGCCGGUUUGUCAUCAUUUAUAACAGCCCGACCACUUCUGAUUCAGACAUCUAAACUUUUAUACUCUGGCGAAGUUAUCACAUCUAACAUUGCAUUCUUGAUAUAUAGAAGCCAUAAUUCAUAUCAUUUGAUACAUUUAUCAUUUCAAAAUAAGUCACCAAGAAGAUCUAAUUAUGAAGCAAAAUCAACAUAACUGUGACCUAUCUACAAGACUCCUAAUAUCGGUAGGACAAAUAUUAUUAUUCGAUAAGAUCACCAUAUUCGAUCAAUCAGACUAGGCAUAUCAUGUUAAUAUUUUCUCACCAAGUAAUUUAAUAUAUUUUUAAUUCACUAAAUUCGAAUGCCUUAUGAGGAGGGGUUUUUUUCUUUUUUAGGACGAGUGUUUUAUGUCGUUAGAAUAAAUUUUGUGAUAUGGAAUAUUGAUCAAAUUAAUAUUAUACCUAUUAUAAUCAAAAUCAUAGGAAAAUUUGUUCCAUGGUUAACCCACACCAAUGAUCAAUGUACUAAUUGGUCAUGUCAGUAGCAAGUUAAAUCAGUGAGCUGUUCCAUCCAUCCCUAAGAUGAUAGGUGUUACACUCUAUAGGCCCCCAUGCAGAAUAUAAUUAUGAGGUUGAGAAGACAAUAACAAUUAGGAAUGUGAUUGACUGGGUUGCUGAUUGACACUAAUUUUAUUCUCUGCUGCAUCCUCCUCCAAUUUGGUGUCACCACUUGUACAGGCACAAUCAUGCCAGGUUCUGCCACCAAAUAGGUGUGGCCAGAUCAACAGGGAUUUGGAAUCAUUACCUGCGGUACAAAUUGAACACCUCCCUAUCAUCCUUCCUGUCAAUCACACACAUCUUUCAUUUCAUGCAUGAUUCAUGUACUGGUGCUACUGUAGAUCGCUCCAUUUAUAAUGAACAAAAGCAUAUGGGCACCUCUACCGAUUUCAACCUCACCAAAUGCAUUCUAUCAAACAUUUAUUAUGCACAACACUCUAUCGAAAGCAGCGGUGGUAAAAUCAUUGCGUUCUUUUUCCUUCUUUAAGUUUUGUUCAUUAAAAUUCAAUCUCCAAAGAUGAUAAGAAGCCUAUUGAAUAUGCUACAUCAAUCUACGCUCUAAGUGUCUACCUAAACACUUUUCCCAAAUAUGAUGACUCGAAAGAAAGAGGGGUAAUAAAUCGAAUCAAUUUUGUUGUGUUGGAUUGAGGACGAAGAUGGAUGGCAUGAAGAUCCGGCUGUGGACCAACCGCAUCGAACUACACUCUGGACAACAAACCGAUCUCAUUUCUGAUGAGGGCGAUCUGUAUCUGCCCAAAUUCUACUACCAAACACAUGCCUCGCUAGGGUUUGUGACUGCUAGUUUCAGAAGCAUCCCUAAGGGCUGUGCAAUCCCCGUACACGAAAAAGGCAUCGUGUGCUGGAAUCACAGGCCAAUCAUUCCACCAUGUGGGCUUGGAAACGAUACAAAACCCUAACCCUAGGGCACCAUAAACAACAACAGUUCAGAGCGAACAAGAAAUCAAAAGAAACAGAGAGGAGGAGCACAAAAUUGGGUGGAGGCAUACAUACAUUCCUAGGCACUCUGUGCUGGACAAGGGUACAGGUGUUUCUUGGCAUCUGGUGGUGUUCACGGCAGCAGCAUAUGAUUUCGGUAGAUGGAAUAUGUUGACCAUCCACAGAGCGAACGAGCGAGCGAGCGAGCGAGCGAGAGAAAGAGACGGUUGGCGUUGUGAUCGCAUCAGGCUCCUCUUUUCCUUCACUGUCCUGUCACCCCGCUGCACGUGAUUUCGUCCCUUCCACGCCCAUCCUCUUAUCUUAAUCCAACAUACAUAUAUAUGUAAAUAAAUAAAUCGAGAUAAAUUAUUUUCUAUUAGAUAAAAUGAUCUUAAGGGACAUAAUCAAACUACUGUGAUCGAUCGAGUAUUUAAUAAUUAAUUUUAAUUUACUAAAAAAAAUUGGGGAUCGGAUGGAGUCAAAAUGUUGACUGCAGUUCAACUUUGACCUCAUCAAAUCCCAUUGAUCGACUGUUCCACGCCUAUGUCUUCAAAGACGUUCGCGGAAAGCUCGACCGAGUGGGGCCGCACCGUCGUAUCCGCGAGCGCGUGGUGGGUGGCCGAGUCGGGGCUGGCGGAACGAGUGCGUCAGCCGCACGCAUGAAAUCACGGCCGCACGUUUGCCCUCAUCUCCCUCCUCCCACCUAACCCAAUUCAAAUUCCUUAUAAUAAUAAUAAUAAUGUACAAUACAAAAAGGAUAAUAAUAAUUGUGGUCGGAAAAAACGAGAGAAAAGAGAGAGGCGAAACGUACAUGCAGACAUGAUGAUCACUGUUCCCCUAAUUUCUAGGGUUGAUAAGGGGGCCUAUGUGCCAUGGAGACCAGACUUGGGUACCUCUAUAUCAUUAAUAAUUUCCCAAAAGCAUGUGGGUAUAUCAACCUCGAUUCCCAUGAUCCCAAUAAUUAUACAUCUUUUAUGGUCAUCAUAACUUUAAGAAAUAUUCUUGUAGCGUUGAUUUGGGCACGGAUUACUCGAAUUAUGUUGUGGCUUUUAUGUCCCGCGAGAACAUCGGGGAACAGGAGGCAUCCGCCGAGUCCAACGCGACGCUGAUUCAGUCAAUUUCGAGGCACCCGAAACUAGUUCGACAAAAUUCCCCGGUGGCUGCCUUCGCCUGCCCGCGGAAUAAAAUACGCCAGAGAUUCUCAUGCCGACAUCAAGCUCGAGGCUCACGUAGAGUCCCGUCAUUAGCCUACUAAUAAUCUAUGGAGAUUAGAGGUGUUGUUUAGUGUUAUAUAGCCUUGUGGAAUGGCAGAAGCAGCAGAGAAGAAGAAGAAGACAACGUGGACAAGAAUUGAAAGAUUUGGGUGGCAAUUCGCGAGGCGAACCGCCCAGUCCGUCGGGUUUGGUGGGCGUUUUGACCCUGUCAAGUUAGGAUGGCUCGCUUGGCGCGUCAUGGGUGACAUCGGCUGUGUUGGUUCCGGGGCGAGUCCGCGGGUAGGUGAGACCACGGGGCGAGGAGGCGAAAGGCGGGUCCAGCAUGGGGCCCAUUAAGCGAGGCAGGUAGGCGAAUAGGGGAGAGGGUACGUUUCCGACCAACCCACGUGACAAAAGCUGUGCCCUUUGGACGGGUGGGAAUCACGCGGGAUCCAAUACGUCUUGCAAUAAAAAUCUGCCGCGUGUCACUACGAAGCUCGAUCCUGUUCGAGACGGGGACAGCCGAUCCCGUGAUUUCGAAUCGGAGGCUGGAGUUAGUAGUACUCGGCAGAGACAAGGGAGUUGGCUUGGCUGUGGGGAGGCCGCCACGAGCCACCGAAUCACAUAGGGGUUGGAGGAAGCCAUAGGUUCGACAGGGAAAGAAACAAAACCCCCCACCCCCCCCCCCCCUCCCCUCCGUCCUCCAGUGUCCAAACCUAAUAGCUUUUCCUUAGGGAUGAUAAUGACAAAACAUGGUAGCUCUUGUUCUUGGUGCAUCAAGCUCUCGUCCCACCCAAGGGUGGGGAGUCGUGGCCUCAACCUGCUGCAUGAGCUUCGCAUGAGAAUCCAGAUCUGCUGCACCCAGCAAUCGACAAAACCAUUAAUCAUCUUCAUCACAUCCGCAAAAGAUUUGUUCCGGAUGCAUAAUCUUACCCCUCGCAUGCUGAAAAUGAAACAAUGGGGUCGGCCUUCGUCUUCUCAUCUCAGCAGCUGCAGCAGGAGGAGGAGUACACGCCUCAUCGGCGGACGACGACGAAGGCGGCGGCGGCGGCGGCCCUCAGAUCAUGAUCCGACAGCAGAUCCUACACGAUCCGCCCGCGAUUCUGUAUGGCGACAUCUUGUACUUGUCCGGGGGAUUAUAAAUCCUUGGCGGUCAGCUAAUCCGACCGCGGCGAGAAUAAUCGGCAGGGGCGGGACCACCGACAGUGUGCGUCGUCGACAUCGGCAACUCCACAGUGGGUUGAUUACAAUCUUGUCCGGGGCUGCAAAUCGAGUAGGCGCAGGGCAUCAGGUGACGACGACGCCUACUGGCCAUUACAAAACUCAUCCUCAAUUCUGCUCCUCUUCCCCGGUAGGCUUUGUAGGGAGAGCAACGACAGAGCUGAUGCAGUGUCAUCGAUCUUCCAUGGAAUCGCGUGAACAGGGGGGAUUAUCCAUGGCCCGAGCUCGUCUUCUCCCCCUCCCUUUAAUUAAGUGGCAUGCACAGGUUGUACUUGUACUAAUCCUGGUUUUAGCUGGCACCGUGGUGGGUUUUGUCCAAUGUCAGGUUGGUUUCUAGUGAAACCACUGCUGUGCCGCUGAUUGCACCGGCUCCAGUAAUACUGUUCUCGGAAAUCAGAGAUGCCAGCAUCGUCAUUGUUGUGAGCUGAACCAGAAGAAAGCAGAUGUCGAUCGAUUAGAAGAUUAUAUGUAAAACAUGUAACAAGCCAAUAUGCAUGAUUGAGAAUGAGAGUUAGAGAUAACACUCGAGGAGGAAGGACAAGUGAGAGAGGAGUUGUACCGGCUCAAGCUAGGAGGUAGAGAGAAGCUCACAUGAGCUCUAAAUCCUACUGACCUCGCAUCACUCUCACUGCAGACCAGCGGAAUCUCUGACCCUGUUCAAUUCUUUCACCCUCACCAUCUCAGCAUCUCAUUUGUGAUCUCACCAGGACCCUUUUAACCCUUCCUCCCUGUUCUGGAUCUACCAGCAGAUGAAACAAAACCACUGACUCACGGUGGCCCUUUGAGUUUUCUUUCUCCUAUCCAUCCAUCAACCAGAAAAUAAAAAAGGGAUGGGGGGGGGAUGAGAGAUGAGAGAAAACAUGUACUUCCCCUCUUCUGCUUCUCACGUGGUAAGUUCAGAAUUAUAUAUGUUUUCUUCUUACUUACCUUUGGGCCUUUAAAACCCCACCCUUUCCCUCCUCCUCCUCCUCCUCCCACCGAGACACAGAUGUGCAGUGCCUGUGUGUAAACGAAUCUGUGAGAGAGAUGGCACUAGAAGCUGUGGUUUUCCCUCAAGACCUCUUCAACUAUGCUUUCAAGGAGUGGUGCGCCAACACCGGAAGUGGAGGAGGAGCAUGGGAGGAGAAAAGUAUGGUGUUAGAAUGUGAGAUGGCCGGAGGUGGAGGUGGAGGUGGGACCUGGGACCCAACCUGCUCCUCCUUGGCACGGAAUCUCCAGGAUUGGAAUGUGAAUUCCUCGACGCCGACAGCAGCCGGUGCGCCCGCCGGGGCGGGGGGCCGGAGAAAGAGGCGGCGUACGAAGAGCAUCAAGAACAAAGAGGAGGUGGAGAGCCAGAGGAUGACCCACAUUGCCGUGGAGCGCAACCGCCGGCGACAAAUGAAUGAAUACCUCGCUGUGCUCCGCUCUCUGAUGCCGGCUUCCUAUGUCCAAAGGGUAAUCCAUUCACAUCUUCCGCACCGUCACUAAUGCAUCCAAUCUCAUCAAGACCAUUCACUGGUUGUUGAAUGAUAGGGUGAUCAAGCAUCGAUCGUCGCCGGCGCGAUCAACUAUGUCAAAGAACUUGAGCAGCUCCUUCAAUCACUGGAAGUCCAGAAACGGGUCAAGCAACAAGCGGAUGCAGCCGGCGUUGCCGCCGCCUUUGCCGACUUCUUCAGCUUCCCCCAGUACUCCUCUUACUCACCCAGUGGCGGCACCACCGCCGGAGACGGUAGUGGCAUAAUUGACCAUGAUAGUAUCUUCCGAAACACCGAGGAGAUCGAAGACGACGAAGCAGCCGCCGCAAACAUCGAGGUGACGAUGGUGGACAGCCACGCAAACCUCAAAGUGCUCACGAGGCGGCGGCCGAAGCAGCUGCUCAAGCUGGUGGCCGGGCUGCAGAGCUCGCGGCUCCUGCCGCUGCACCUCAACGUCACCUCCGUCGACCAGAUGGCCAUGUACUCCUUCAGUCUCAAGGUACGCCGGACUCCACCUCCUUCCUCCUCGCCGGACCAUUUGCCAGCCUGAUGGAGUUUGUGUGCUCAUCUCUGCGACGCCUGGCUUUGAUCCGCAGGUGGAAGAUGACCGUCACCACACGUCGGUGGACGAGAUUGCAGCAACAGUGCAUCAAAUGUUAGGCAGGAUUCAGGAGGAGGCAAAACUGUAGAAUCUCUGUUGUCUUCUUGUAGCAUGGAAAAGGGUGUUGAUUGCAUGAAAUAAUCUGGCCUUGUGAUGUGCAGCAGCAGAAACUCCUGUUCACCAUGAGAUCUGCUAUUGAUGAUAGCCUGAGUAUGCUCUCUGCUUGGCCAAAAAAAUAUCUUCGACAGUCUCACUGAGAACACCCAACACAACGAGAACUCGGUCAAAGGCUGUGAAACAGAGGAUCUUUGCAUCUGAACAUAAGCUUUUAGAAUUUUCCUUGGAUUGUUUUUCCUUCAUUGUAUCUGCUUUUGAUUUCUGAGCUGCCACCAAAACCACAUCAGAUCCAAUUAUCUACCUUAUUGGUUAAUUUUUCUAGCUACAUAGAUUCACAUAAAAUCCUACGAAACAAAUUAACUUAGGUACUCAACCAGAAUGUUAGAAUGAUCUUAGCAACUAUAUUACAACACAACACUAGAGGAAUCUUUCAAGAGCUCGAAAGUCUCUCUAUGUGCUGGAAGCAUAUGGAGAAGAUGGAUGGCCAUAAAUUACAUAACCAAAGACAGCUACAUGCUUCAGUGGCAUUCAGAAGGCGGAGAAAAGAAGAUACAUAGUUUUAGACAAGUUUCAGAAAGAUGAUAGUACCAAUUUCAGCAGUCUCUGGUCAUGUGGAUUUUUCCUUUCUUUUGUUUGAUGCAAGGACGAUCGCAAAGGGGCUGAAGCAAUGAUUCAAAGGUGAAGAAACCUACAAGACAUUUCACAUCAUGUAAGUGUUUAAAGCUAUAAAAGAGUACUGCAACAUAAUAUUUGCCCAAGUAUUUACUGAUGGGGAGAGAGAGAGAGAGAGAUAGAGAAAAGGAGGAACAAGGAGUCAUUUCAUGACUGAUUUGGCUUCCGAUGGAUGUUUGAGCUGACCAUGUUGGCAAAUGGCCUCACAAUUGUUCACAUGUUGCUGAUGUGCAUACUGUCUGAUUCUGUUCCCUGGCACACUUCAUAAUACUGGAGAUCCAACGGAGGCCGAGGCAAUCCUAAUCGCUGUCCAAGCCACAAGCAAGAACAGCUGCUUGUCAGCUGAUCGAACAUGGAAAGGUUUGGUGCCUCUCCAUUGUGUCAGCAAGAACCUAAUAGUACUGUACCAACUCUAGUUGCGCUGUGUAGGGAAUAUAACUGUCAUGCUCAACUGAUAAAAAUUGCAUCUCCUCUACUUCAUAGCAUGCAUGAUGACAUGCAAAUCCAGUGAUUCAAAUACCUGUCACUUUAGCUCUUUCUGCAAAGAUGUUGUUGCAGCUAAGUCGAAACUUUGACAACCAAAUCUCAUGAAUCCUUUUUGAGAUUCUAAAACUGAUUAGUAGAACUUCAAAUUUUAACUAGCUACAUGAAAACAAGUGACUAGCAAAAAUAUUUCCUAAAAAGUGCAUGGAUUCUAAACCAAGAAGACUAGAAUGUAUGAGAAUACUAGUGUAAAGUCAUCUAAAUAACCAGAGUGUAAAUAUAUUUUCAGCAUGGUAUAUAAUUACCAGAAAAAUACAAGAACAAGUACCUCAGGAUCAUCUUAGUCAAGAGACGAGAUUGUGCACAGAACAAUCAAUACAUAGCUACUUUUUGAUACAUCUGAACAACCAAUAUAUAUUCAAUACAAAGUUACACUAAGCGAAGCUGAAGAUUGAAAAGAGCAAAACUGAGUUCAUCUCUUGGUUGGUGGUCUACUAAGUGGGAACUUACAAGCUUCAACAAUGUAACUUUUCAAGAAGCAACAACAUGAGCCACUCACAAGAACAGCAGGCAGAUUAUCUUUUUAAGAUGUUACCAGAAAAACACAAGGACUGCAUCAUGUAACAAGAUGCACCUUGGCUGAAAUUUCAAGCUACUUUAAUAUGCCAGCUUCAAAAACACAAGGACUGCAUCGUGUAUCACUAAAGUGAAGAACCCAUAUAAAAUUCAGAACAGCCACAUGCUCUUUGAGUUGGCAUAAAGAAAAGAUAAAGCCACUCCGUAUUGGUGUUAUGUAGUCAAGGUUUCAAAACCAAUCACAUCUGUCAUAAGUAAAAUGAUCUGAAGCCUACAUGCAUAGAACAGCAUCAACGGCCUUUAUAUAUGCAUGGUUAAAAAAACUGAGGUACAAGUAUGAUUUCACCAUCGAAUGUGAAAUAACUUAAUAAAGACAGAGUGAAUCUAGACAUCCAACUCGCUGAAGAUGGAGAGGUACAAUAGGCGUCCUGAAAAGGCGGCAGAUAGUCACCCACCGGCCUGACCUGGUGGCCCCCCCUGGGCGGUAGAAAACAAAGAGGUGGCUGAACAAUGUUAAUUGAUCCAUGCAUUCCCCUAGUUUAGAUCAAACCAAAACAACUUGAAUGGCAACAGGAUUCAGUGGAGGAAACCAACAAAGUUAUAGGAGGAGAAAGUCAAGCCUGAUUGAGAUAUAGGAUAUAAUCAAAUAUGGUAAUGGGCCUGCUCAAUCGGUAGUUGAAGAGCAUUAUUAGGACCUGUCAUUAAAAGAAUCGAUACUUCAAUCAUGCUUUCGAGCUGUACUGGCACCAGAAUUUGGGUCCUGAGAAUUGUAGUCAGAACUGCAUUUUCUUGUCCCACACAUAGCCCUCUUUCAACAAUUUUAUCUCACUGACCUAAUAAAAUAUCUUUACGGUUGGAUAUAAAUUUAUGUCCAUAAGGCUCCUAAGAAUAUGUAACUGCUUUUAUUGUGAGGAACGAACAUACCUGGACAAACAAUAAAACAAGGAAUUCUUGGGAACCUUACAAGAUUAAGAAGCCUCAAAACAUCUCACUGACCUAAUAAAAUAUCUUUACGGUUGGAAAUAAAUUUAUGUGCAUAAGGCUCCUAAGAGUAUGCAAGUGCUUUUAUUGUGAGGAACAAACAUACCUGGACAAACAAUAAGACAAGGAAUUAUUGGGAAUCUUACAAGAUUAAGAAGCCUCAAAACACUAUACGCUUGUUAUCCAAGGGUACUGAAUGUUGCUGAUGCAGAAAGAUGAUCAAUAAACAACACAGCAUCAUCUAAGACUGGACAGGACAUAAAAUUAUUUUGGAGAAACUUUAUAAAAGCUUGAAGAAUCUGAACCAGAUACGAAAUGGCCAAGUCAAACCUUCCAAAAGGACAUAACUGGAUGUCAAUAUGCAACAUGUUUUCUGGUACCUUCCAAUUAGAUGAAUAUGGUUUUAAAUUUUGAUUUGGUUUGAUCAGCAAAGCAUCUUCAACAAAACUCAGCAAUAUAACGCCAUCUUGAAGACCAGGUAAAUUCUAAGUUUACAUCGUCGUAUAAAGAGAAAAAGGCACUGGUUAUUCUAUCAGAUGCAGUAUUCAAGGAGCUAACGCCCAUAGAAACCUACUUGGAAAAGUUAGCCUACUUCUUCCACAAUCAGCAUCAGAAGCAAACAGUUACAAGCCACAUAAUCAAUUAUACUGAACCUUAAGGGUAUUAUAGGGUUGAUCUCCAUAAUCCAGAAGUGGGAGAAAAAAAAAGAUAAGAAAACCUACAUCGUCGUAUAAAGAGAAAAAGGCACUGGUUGUUCUAUCCGAUGCAGUGUUCAAGGAGCUAACGCCCGUAGAAACCUACUUGGAAAAGUUAGCCUACUUCUUCCACAAUCAACAUCAGGAGCAAACAGUUACAAGCCACAUAAUCAAUUAUACUGAACCUUAAGGGUAUUAUAGGGUUGAUCUCCAUAAUCCAGAAGUGGGAAAAAAAAAAAAGAUAAAAAUUUCUUCAUGAUCAUGAAUGAGAACUUGAUAAAGAAGUGGUAAUAUAAACAUAUUUCUCCAAAGUCCAAACUGAGUUCUUGGUAGCUUAAUGCAACAAUUUUAUUAUCCUUCCAAAGGCAAGAGAGGAUACGUUCCUCUACUUGCUUUCAAUUUAUAAAAUCAUUAGGAGAUCAAAUUACCAUGAAUCUCAACUUGAAUAGAUUUUCUAGAUUCAACUAUUAUGAUAGAGGGUCAAGCUUGCCAAAAAUAAUACUUAUACAACUGAGGGACCAAGUACAUAUUUCAUGAAGUAUACACUACCUUAUUUUUCAUGCAGCUUGCAUUUUGAUUGCAGAAUGCAGGCAAUGAUGCUUAGAUGCAUGAAUGUGACCUAAAUGUAUCCAGGGCAAGGCAAUUUACAAUUCCCCGCUAGGGAGACCAAGCAGAUCAAUGGAAAUGAUCCAAUAUAUCUGCAUCAAAUGGCUCACUAACCAUGAAGCCUUUGUGCAAAUGGCUCUGUUUCUCAUUCUAAGAAUAAUGACAUCCUUAUUCCAAUAUCUUUCAUUAUGUACUUCACAAUAUGGUACCCUAUACUUGAUUUAUGAACAUUGUUACUUACACCAAAUAGCAACAUAUUUUAUUGAAGUCCAUAGCAACAUAGUUAAUUUAUGGAAAUUCUGGUAAAGGGUCAACUUAUAAUAACUUUUAUAAUUUGACAAGAACUCCUCAAAUUUUCACAUAUUAUAGCUACUCCUGUGACACAAGUUGUUUCUUGAACAUAUCUCAAGGAUGGAAACUAUAGAUUUAAGUUUUGGUUUGUGCCAAUUUUAUUGUAUAUUGUCGGCAUUGUAAAGAACUGACUCCUGAGAGUGUACAUAUAUUAAUUUAACUUGCUAUGGAACCUGUGUCAGUCAACACAUUAUGUUGGCACAUCAUCAACAUGAACGGUGAUGUGAAUUUUAAUAUUAAAAACUAAAAUAGAAUCACAAAUGAUAAAUAACUAAACUAUCUGCUGGUACUUCAAAGAUAUUUACACUGUAAGAAUACAGAGUAUUUAGUCAAUUAUGAAAGUGACUUCAACAAGUACUAAUUUUGCCAUCAACAACCAGACAUCAACAUCAGUGUUAAACCAUAUUCUAUUGCAUUAACACAACCAAUUAUGCAAAAGUAAAACUAGUAAAUCGCGAUCACUAGAAAAAACUUUUCUCCGGGUCAAUGUAACAGAUAAACGUAGCUUUACUCUCAAGGAAACAUUAUGCAUUAUGACAAUCAAAGUGUAUCCUACACAGAUUCCAAAUAUAUAAAAAUUUAAAAUAAAUGGUCAGCUUAUAGUGAGUGCAGUGAAUGAAAGGAAUGCAGAUGACUAUGUACAUGAAAAUAAUCAGCAACUUAGUCAACCAAAAUAUUACUACACCUAAAAGACAAGCAACAUCUGCAUUUAAACUUGACCUGCCACACAUUUCAACAGCAUUAAGUAUAUACUACAUUAUUUUGUAUAUGUGAUAUUCUACAGUCUACAUUAAUCUAUCAUUUCAUCCCGAGGAUCAUUCAUAUAUAAAUCUUAUCUCUCAUGUUUCUUUAAUAUAUAAUGUGUUUCUAAGCCACAGGAACUAUGUGACAGAACCACCAGAGUCAUCAAGUUAAUUGUGAUCCAUAUGUUUUCAGUGCCCCUGAUGAACGUCCUUCGCUAAGAAAGAAGAAUUAGAUGAGAAAAAAAAUAAGAUUUAAAAUUUUAACAUUAAUAUCAUUUAAGUAAAUACACUGUAAUGCAGUAUGUGGCAGUGUUAGGUACACCUUUUCUGGAACCAACAUGAAGAUUCUAAUUUAGUUCAAAAUGAAAAGUUGAACUGUUCAACUUUCACAUGCUUCAGUUUGGGAGAAAGAACAACUUUGCACUUAUCAAGACAAAAACAAAAAAGAACAUACCUACAAGGGUAAGCAAAGGAGUGAAUGAGAGAGUUAUAGAAGUACUUGGACCAGACCAAAUCAGUAAUUUUUUUUAAAAACCAAAGUACUCGAGAAUAUUGACCAUUCAAUAAUAGUUUCAUACCAAAGUAGAAACAAUUGCUAGCAAAAUAAUGCUAUCAUUGGCUUAUUAAUCACAAUACCUCACUAAUCAGACACUUCAUUGCAUGAAGAGAGCCAAAAGAUUAGCCUCAAAGGAGAAAUUGAUAAUGAUCAUGCCUUAUUUUGGAUGUCUCCCAUAGUUAUUUCAUAUGCACUUAACCUCCUUAUGUGACAAUGCAUUAACAACUGACAUCAGAAUAAAAGGCUUAAUACUAGCAACAAGAAUGUUCCAAACUUACCCGUAAUUUUCACUAGUUUUCAUAUUCCAUGCCAGAGUAAAAAAAUUUAGAUUAACAGUUCUAACUUACCAUUAAGAUAACUGACUUCUUCGCUAAAGUUCUCCAUAAAAUCUGUUCUCAGUAUCAAUAUGUUUGCAAAGGCCUAAUUGUAAGCGAAGGCUAUCGGAAAGCCCACCCUAAAUUAACAGCUUAGAUUCUCCUGUUUUACACUAUCACUACCAUCUAUACACAAGUCUGCCCAGUAAUAAUAUACCAUCCUUUCGUUAUUGUUCCAACCAUUUUCUAUUAGUAUGUUCAGGAAACCUUGGUGAAAAUUGAUACUUUUCAAGAAGCAUCAUGCCAUACCAUAUCAAGGCAUUGAGAAGAAAGGAAAAAGAAACGACGACAGGCUUCUGUAUAUGAAUGUUAGUAGAAACUGGUUUUAAACAAUUUUACUUUGCCGGCAAGUCUACUCCAUACAAAUUACUGGAACAAUUGAUUCCUUGACAACAACCACCAAAUCAUGGAGAACAUGGCACCAACAGUGGUGGAUGAUCACAAGCUUCAUUCCAUAUCACUGGUCUAUUAAACCUAAGCUAUUUCCUGCUAAGUUAAUGUCAACAUGAAACUCAGGUCGAGCAGUAUGCUGCUCAUAAAAUAAGUACAGAUUAGAACAAUUGAGAAGCUACACUUGGUAUGCAGUUCAUUCUCACUAAGAGCAUAAAUGACCAAACUGAUAAUAAUUUUGCCAAAAAAUUAACUCUGCAGUAUGAGCAGAAAACCUUUAACAAAUUCAGGCUAACGGAUACAUGGUGAACAUAGCUAACAUGCACCGACAUCUGCUACUGCCGGAGUGGAUAUCGUUAUUUAGGAUACACGACAAUUCUCAGCUCCAUUUUGCUUUAGCAAAAUAUGUGAUCAGACAAAAGAGAAGGUAAACUAGAAACACUGGAACCAUAAUAAAUGAAUCAAAGCCUUAAGUGCAUUCAUGAGUUUCAUCAUUAGAACAUCCUGCUUCUCCCACAAAUGGAUGAACUACCAAUAGCCACAAUGAAGUAGACAAAGCAUAAAAAAAAAGCCAACAAACUCACUUGAUCAAUUGGCAUCAGAAUCAGUGUAAAGUCCUUUACAUUCUAGACAUAUAUUCACAAUUAUGGACACUUAGCAUCCAAGCAGAUGCUCGACUUACCAAACCUUAUCAUCCAUUUGUUGUGCUGCGAAUUAAACCCAAAACUCUCUUCCAGCCUUAACCAUGACCGAUGCAACAUAUGUGACAAGGUUGGCAUUCUAUAUUUCCGCUCGACACACAGAUACUAGUACAGUGAAGCUCUUAACUAGCAGAGAACCACUGAUAUGUACAAAAAUUCCCCAUGUUAUAAGCUUAAUAACAUACUUCGGUCAUAAGGACUAUUAUAGUGGGAGAACUGAGCUACGAGCUCGCAAGUGUCUCGACAAGAAGAAUUUCCCACUAGCACUCGAUGAAGAUAUUUCAAUUUCUUUCUGUAGGGAAGCAGUGCCACCAGAAGUAUUACCCUCCUUUCUCCAGGUUCUGACAUCCAACACCUCUCUCAGGGCGGGUUCCUUUGUGUGAUCACUAAGACCUUCUUCCAAGUCUGGCCUAUGCAUGGGAUGAGGAAGAGUGAAUGAAUCCAUAGAAAACGAUCGACGAAUAGGUUGGAACCCUUGUUCCCUGACAUCACUAGGCACUUGCAACUCAAAAGUUGGGAUUUGAUCGAUCAUGAUCCGGUUUCCAGCUCCAAACUCCAACGAGUCCCCCUCUGAUUCCACUUCCAAGGCGCCUUGACCAGUGUCCAAUUGCUGGCCAUCGUUUUGAUGGCUAUCCUCUAGAGCAGAGGGGACUGAAUCUAGGGCGGAAUCAGGGGAGGACAAAGCGGAGGAGAAGGAAGGUAGAGUACUCGCUCCAGGCUCGGAAUCGAUGGAGACGGAGGUUGGGAAGACGACGGGCGCACGGCAGAGGGGGCAAUUGACGUGGGAUCGGAGCCAAGUAUCGACACAGGUAAGGUGGAAGGCAUGGCCGCACUUGGGGAGGAGACGAACGAGCUCGCCGUCGCGGAGCUCGGAGAGGCAGACGGCACAGUCAGCGGGGGAUUCCCCGAGGACGCCGUCGUCGGCCUUGUACGCCCACGCGGUGACGGCUCGGAUGGUGGACUCAUCGAGGCCGGUGGUCCUGAUGUACCAUACAUGGUGGUCGAUCUCGACGCCGCCGACGCCGUCCUCAGAGGCACCGAACUGUUCCUCGUCAGCGGCCGCCCUGCGGCGGCGGCAACGGCGAAGGAAGAAGAAGGUUACGAGGAGUAGGAAAGCAGCGGCGGCGAGGAGGGAGGCGGCGGCGAUGGGGAGGGAGGGGAGCAGGGUGGAGUGACGGAAGCGGACGGUGGUGGAGGGUUCCUGAAUGGGAGCAGGGGGUGGGGGCGACGGCGGGAAAGGAGGUUGGCAAAAUUCCAGAUUUCCGCACGAGGAAGAGGACGCGUUGGUUGCCGAGAAGAGGAAGCGAUUUCGGCGCAACGCCAUCGCCCUGCCCAUCCACAUCCAACGCAGGCGCAGCUAGAAGACGCGACGAUGACGACGACGGCGAAGAUAUAGGACGCCGGGGAGUCGUAGUUACUUGACCUACCACUUUUGGGAGAGAGAAAGAGGGGUGAGAAUUUGAGAGAGAGAAAAGAAGAAGAAGAGAGUCACGUCCACGAGAAGGUGGGGCAGCGGUUCGGUGGUCACACGGACCCUGAAGGGAGCCACCCAUGGAACCCGCACGAUAGCGAAUGGUGAGCCGGGUAGGUUUGGGUUGUUGGGUUUCGGCGUGGGUUGGGAAUCGCCUUCGACUUCGGUUCGCCCACCACAGUUGGUUGAGAAGCGGACGGGCAAGCAAUAAUCACAAAUUAAAUGGGGGGUGUGUGUGGGAGGGAGUAACAACGGAUUUAUGUUCACCGGAAGCGAUGGCGACCCUACUCAACUACUUCUUGUUUUGGUAUGUCGUUAAGUUAGUAAGUAUAACUAAUCUUCCAACAAAUCUUGGCUAUAUAUAUAUAUAUAUAUAUAAUCUUCCAACAAAUCUUGGCUAUAUAUAUAUAUAUAUAUAUAUAUAUAUAUAUAUAUAUAUAUAUAUAUAUAUAUAUAUAACUACAAUCAUUAUCUCAAAUUCAUUAUUGACUCAUCCAAGAUAUCUUAUUGAAUUUUAGCCAUAGAAGAUUAUUAUAAAAAUGAUUCUAGCCAUAAAGAAAUUUUGUCAUAAUUUUUUGACGGUCCACUGAUGUGUACCAACUUGACUAAUGAAGAAAUUUUAUCAAAAAAAUUUUGGGCAUAAUUUUUUAGAUACUUUAUCAGAAAAAAUCUCUAGUAUCAUGUUGUCUUUAUAAUGGGCUUUUAUUGAUGGAUACCUUUUUUUAUUUCAAUAAUACCUUUGAUUAGGUUAUUUCAAAUCAUAGAUCAAUGAGUCAUUUAAUCCUGAAUGUUAUGAUUUAAGUCAAGUUGAUUCAAAUCAGAUCUGAUCUGAUCGCUAUCAAAUCUAUAAAUGAAUGUAAUACGUGUGUAACCAAGACAUUUUUAUCAAUCCAAUCUAAACUUCUAUAGAAUUACUAACACAUGAUUUUAAUAUAUUUAAUAUCAAAUUUUUCUUAUUUUUUAUAAUUUUAUGUUGAAUAAAUUUUUAAAUAUAAUAUUUUUAGGUUGAAUCGAUGAUUAAAUGUAACUCAUUGAAUUUUCACUGUAUCUAUCCAAACUUUUUUAAAAUUACUAAUGUGAUAUAAUAAUAUGCUUAGUAUUUUUUUAUUUUUCUAUGGAUUUAGGAUGAUUAACUUUUAAAAUAAUUUUUUUUAUUAAAUCUACGAUCAAGUGUAACUCUUUAAAUUUUCAUCAAACCUGUAUAGACUCUUUGGAACUACUAAGGUAAAAUAAUAAUAUAUUUUAGUAUCAUUUUAAAAUAUAAAUUUAAGAUAAUUAAUAUUUAAAAUAAUAUAUUUUAUUUGUUAUAUAUACGAUCUAAGUGUAAUUUGAGUAUACCGACCUUUUUAGGUAAACUACGAUGAGACGAAGGAAGAAGAGAGGAGAUGAGGGAUAGAGCAAUAUAACGAGGAGGUAGAGGAGGAGAAAGCCAAGUGGGAGGCGAUAAAGUGGGAGGAGUAGCAAAGGUGGAGUGAGAGGAGGAAGUCAAAGUGAAGGUGAAGAAGUUGAAAGUAAUUAUAAAAAAAACAAAAUAUACUAUAAGAUACAAUUAAAUCAAAUUAAAUAGUUAAGAUUUAAUUUAAAUCAAUAUGAUCCGAUUCAUCUAAAAAUAUUUGAUUCAAUUAAAAAAAUUAAUUCAAACCUAAUCAAAUAUUAUAAUUAUCUUUUUAUGAUUUUAAAGAUAUUUUGAUCGAAGCUCUAAAAAAAUCAAAGUAAAAAAAUUAAAUACUUGAACAUUAUAUGAUAAAAAUUUAUUAUUAAUUUUUUUGAUAAAUUAUCUUAAUCUUUUUUAUUGGAGACGAGACAUGCAUUUUUUCAACUCAAACUAUAGUUACACAAUGACAUGAUUUGAUUUAAAAGAACUAAAUGAUCAUAAUGACACGUGAUAAACUGAUUGGAUUUAAAAGGGUUAGGACACAUGGCAUGACAUGGUCAUAAUUGCAUAAACCGAUUCGAUAUCAUUGAAGUGAGACAUGUCAUGUUUUUUAUUUGAGAGAAUCCUUUAUGCUGAGACAUACAAACGUCAUGACAUGGUUCAUAAUUGCAUAAACCGAGUUGAUUUCAAAGGGAUGCCGAACGACUUGAUUCCCGAAAUGAAUUGCACACACAGCAAUCAACACUAGCCCACCGCAAAACAGCAAACAGUCGCCAUUUAUAAUGGCAUGAGGUACGUCAAUCCCCAACAUGCCGGAUCCGAUAGGGUCAUGCACAGCUGAUAUGUCCAGGUUCAGACCAAAUGAAAUAGUGAAGUCUGAGCUGGGAGCGCAGUGGCCGCCGCUCCUUCGCCUCAUCCUGCGCGCAUUCCACACCCGCUCCUUGCAACUCGCCCUGUAGCCAUUCCUGCUGCCACCACCACUACAUUAUGCAAGACCUGACAUCGUCAUCCGACCGCCACAGCUGGACUUCACUGAGGCCCCCCGCUGACACGACCCACGUGUCCCAGUCAGAUUCCCCAUCCAAACAACGACACGCGUCCCUCCAAUGCCCAGAGCACGGGGUAUAACGGUAAAACAAAGAGAAGUAUCCACUACAAAGCAAUGGUACAGCCCGGUCACAUGUCUACCACCAGAGUCAAAUAACAAAGCAAAAAAUUACAAACCAUAGCAAUCAUUAUAAUAAUAGUACAACAUCAUGCGGGAAAAAAAAGAGAUCGUCCGAUCAACAAUCGACGGCUGAGAGCGAGCCCAGCGGAAAUGACGCCACCUAGAGCGCGAAGGUGGCGACCACGGCGCACACCACGGCGAUCCAGCCGACGGUCGUGGAGGCGGCGACAUUGCCCGACGGUGUCGAGGUGGGGGACGAGGUAGGGGGCGUGGAGAUCGGAGAGGUCGGGGAGGAGGGGGAUGGUGUGGCCGGUGGCGGCGCGGGAGGGGACGUGGCGGGAGCCUCCGAACGGGGGGUGGAAGCAGGAGGGGAAGCCGGGGGUGGGGCUGUGGGCGUCACGGCCGGCGGCGGAGGGACGGGAGCCACGGCCGGAGGGGUGACGGGGGCGACGGCGGGGGGAGUAGUCGGCGCUGGGGACGGAGGCUUUACGGGGGCGGGGCUGGGGCCCUGCGCCAAGGAGGUCACGGCGAGCAGCGCCAACGCGGCAGCGAGCACAGCGAAGCGAAGGGAUGCGGCGGCCAUGUCCACCGCCGGAGAUCCCGCAGAUCCGAGCCGAGAUCGGGCAGCAAAUACUUAGGAGAACUUAGCUAGGGUUUGCAGUGUGAAGAGGCGAAGAGGGGUCGCGAAGGGUUAUAUAGAGGGAGAGAGCGAGAGUGCGAGGUGCGGGAGGUAGGCCUAUCAAACCCCGAGAACACGACGCCAGCCGUUGGAUAUAAUUAGGUACGGCUCAGAUCCUUCGAUUCCUUUCAUCUGCUACAUCUAUUGUUAUUCGGUUGGUAACCGUCCGUUGAAGAAGGGACGGUGAUCGAUUCCAUCAACGAGUUCGCCGUGUGCGGGAAUAAUAAAGCUCGGCGGCCAUCGAAGCACUAGACGUCAGAUGGUGAUCAGAGGGCAGAAACUUCACUGGACUACCAACGUGGGCGCAAUCAUUGCAGGUGCGGGGCAAAGCGGAAUAGCCGAGCAUAAUGUUGCGAUUUUAAUUUAUUGGGACAACUGGGCAUGACAGGUGGCGUUUGAUAUUUCUUUGCUGGUGGAUGAAAUUAUUGAAUUCAUUUUUUAUUAUAUCAUAUUUGUUUAUUAUUUAUUUUGAAGGGAACAAAUAUUAUUUUUUACGUUGUAACCAGCUGUCUUGAACCGUCACUCGUUCAUCACGCAUCAGACGGCCAGGAAGGGGUUUAUCAUAGGGGGAAAGUACGCGAUCGAUGGGGUCUUUGGUGACGCGGUGAGCAUCAAUCGUGUAGGCUCUGGAAGGAGUGGGUGCCGUCUCCACCCAGGAGCGAAGCCUCCGAGCAAAUGCAUUGGGGAGGAGGGCGAGGAGGCACGCGCUGUUUCCAGGUAAAGUUUCGCCAUAAAGGUAGUGGCAUCAUGGAAGCCUCGUCGAAUGGUGAAGGAAUGAUGGCCAUGUCUUGUACAUGUUGACUUGCAAGCCCCCAAAUCCAGCUCUUUGUCACGGGCUGCUGGCGAUUCCAGUUGCUUACAUCGGCAGGGCCGUAUCAGGUACGACAUUCCGAUUCCAGAUUGACGCGUUGGGUGGCACUGCAAUUACGGUCUUGAUCGUCGAAGUCCGUGAUGUCGUCGGUUGAUACAGUCGAGUGUUCGUCAAAUUGUCUGGGUGGGAAUUGCGAUGCGAUCGUAAAUUGAAUAGAGAAAGUCCAUGUCGUCGUUGGUUGACUGUAAUGUGUUUGUCAAAUUGCCUUGGGGGGGAGGAGAUUUUUAACUUGCAGUCUCUAACUUGCUGACGAACUUCAGGAAAUCCUUGAUCGACCUCGUCUCCAGUAGUUUUCAUGGACAAGUAGUAGUCGUUCUGUUUACCAUACAUGAGAGUAUUUUCCAUUUAGGCUACUAGUUGUUGCCUUGACAGUCGUCGAAGAUGGUUCGGAUCACAUCAUGUGAUUGCGACCGACCACGAGUUGGCAUUACGUAUUCUUUUUUAAUCCUGUCUUGUUUAAUCACGAUGAAUCUCUUAGAAGAUGGUUAGAGCGUGGUGGUGACACUUGAAGUUUUCUCUUUUCUGGUAUUUUAGGCCUAAAAUAUGACCAACAGGAUUUAUCUGGUUUUAUUGAAGUCUCGAGUGAAAUGGUCAAGUCUCGGUUGGAUAAUACAAGGAAACUAUACACCAAGUUAGAUGGAUGGAAUUAGUGUUUCUAAUUCAAUGAGGCCUCAUGAUGAAGCAGUAUAGUGGUGUAUAAAUAUAGGGCCCUGAUUGCUCUUUCUACUCAUGAAAAUCAAUAGACUACUCCUCCUUGAUCUCCCUUUGGUAAGGAGAAGAGAAUGAUGAGGUAGAAGUGCAGUGUACCACACAAUCUCACAUAGAUUGAGAAUUGUUCUGCUGUAGAUCAGAGAAAUGGCAAAUACUCAGUGACUGCGACUGCUGACCGAUACCCGUUUAUUGUUUUCCACAAUAAGCUUUGCAUGAAUACUAGCACAGGGUUCUUGGAAUUAAAGUCCAGUAAAAUUAAGCUUUUGGUUAAUGAAAAUCUGUGAUGAUGCUAAUCAGGAUAAGAACACGAUUGGUUUGUUCUAUAAAAUCUGCUGUUACAUUAUGUACUUUGCAAAAAGGAAAAAGAAUCCUCAUCUUGACCAUUUUAAGUUGCUUUGAACCAAUAUUUGUUCUUGUUGAUUUUUCAUGUAAUGUGUACUAGUAUGCUCUAGUAAACUUAUACAGGAGGCAUGCAAAGAUCAAAAGAACACUGAUACUAAUAGAUUAUAUGUUCAUGAGCACAAAGAUCAUUGUAUUAAGCAGGUAUUAGAAAGUUAAGCUGCAUUGAUUUGACUUAUAAAUACAUAUGGAUUCGACUAGUUUAGGAAGGUUCUGCAACACAGCUUGUUCUAACACGAUCUAGUCUAUAUCUAUCUGUUUAGUUAUGUAUUUUAUGUUAAUCCUUCCUUUUUUUUUCAAUAACACAUGUUAGUUUAGAUUAAUUUCAUGCCCAAUCCCACCCUAAUUGUCCAAUUUUCGGUGCAACGCCAGCACACGCAUACCUUCCGCUUAGACAUGUGCAUCUUAUGCAUUUUGAUAUUUUAAAUAAAAUAUCCCACUCUAAUUUUUUUUUAUCUUGAAAGUAUGAUAUCAUGUUUGAUGCCACCAUGUUCAAUGCUAAUUUUCCCCCUUAACCCACUUUUGGUGAUUUUCAAAUUAUGAACCAUGGUUACAAUUUUCAUCUUCUGUUUAUGCCACUGUAUUUUCAUAGUAAUGAAUCCAAUGUGCAUGCAACCAAUUAUAUAGAUGUUAGAAAUAUCAUUGUGGCAACAAAGGUAUUCUCGUGGGGGUUAUUUCUGUUCUAUUUAGCUUAGCCAAUGAUAUUGGAACUUCAACUGCAGAUGAGCUGUAAGAUCUUGAGGAUACUCAACUGGUGGAACUGGGUGUCAAGAACUUUUACUGAGAAGUGGAAAUAAUACUCAAGGUUACUGAAUAUUCUGGAGGAAGAUUUUCAAAGGAUAUGAAUGGCUUAGUUAGGUAAAGGCAGUUUCUUAUUUGUCAUAUCUUUGUAUAAUCUGCUCACCACUAUGGAUUUGGAAAGUCCAUAUGCCUGAAAGAUGAACAUUUUUUUGCUUGGCAACUCAUCCGGACAAAGCUCCCAACUGAUCAGAACCUGAACUGGAAUAGUUUUAAUAAUUGUCGUUUCCAUGAUGAUAUUUGAAUGAUGGAAACCGCUUAUCACUUGUUUCUUGGUUGCAUUGUAGCUGAGUAUUCGAACAGGAUGAAAUCAUGGUCCUACUUAUUCAAAUCAUCCCAGUAACACCGAAGGUCUUUGAUCGGACUGGAUGGAAAAAUAGAUCAAUGAGGGCUUCUUAAUGGGCUUGGGAUUAUCACAGAUUACCUACCUACUGGUGCAUUUGGUUGGAGCAUAACAAAAGAAACAAACUCUUUUGUGGAAACUACAAAGACUGGAGUAUUGUUCCUUAAGAAAGUAGCGCAUAGGGUUUUGCUGAUUCUAAGAGGAAUGGAUUGUUCUGUCAGGUCAGGAAUAAUCUUGUUUCAGCAACACCCCUUGAUUCUUUCAUUCUACUGGUUGUACUCUCUUCAUCGUGAGACUUAAAUAUUCCCUGUUGUUAUUAUUAUUUUGUAUAUUUUCUUAAUGAACAAUGUCAUGAUCAUCUGAUUUUUUGAUCCAAGAAAAAAGUUAGAAUCAAGAACAUGCCCUUUUGCUUUCCAAGGGCUUAUUUCACCCUGUUUCCUUUGCUGGAUGACAAUACAACUCACAAGGCCUCAAAAUACAAUGGUAGGCCUCAAAAUACACCUCAAAAUAUCCUUUAGCAAUAUGUUUUCUUUCCUUCCUUUCUCUUUAUGCUUUUAUAAGUUCUGAAAUGUUCAACAGAAACGGAAAGAACUAAGGAUGUUUCUCUGUUUUCAGGCAAUCAUUCCAUUGCAUUUGAAUCAGCUGAAACCGAAGCAUCCAUUAAGGUGGCUUUUUGCUUGCAAGAAACUCAGAAAUGGAUAUAUUACUCAGUCCAACUGUUAAGGCAACACAGCUACUUCUCCUGCUCAGGUGCUGCCAAACCUGUCCUAGUGCUUGUGCAUUCCUAUGAUGUACUGACAUCUGAGCUAUCUCCUACUUUACUAGGUCUCUGCAGCCAGAAGUGACUGAUUUAUUUGGUGGUAGUCACGCGGAAUCUCAAUCAAUCAUCACCUUCUUAUUGGCCAAGCUUUUCCCAGGUAUUCAGUACACAAGCUUUUCCCUUUCUUUCUUUCUUGAUGCACUACAUUUAAACAACGAGACAUAUAAACAACUCUCCGUAGGUCAGCAGACAUACCUCUCUUUCCACCUGCCAAUCCAAUCUUUUUCUUUUCCUGCAUGUACGAUUUUUUAGGAGCCUGUAAGAUUGCACCCACUACCACCACCAUUUCGUUCUUAGGCCCCUAAAAAAAGGGGUGGAUUGGUGCACUGCAUGUAGUACAAAGUAGGGCAAGGGUAGUGGCUGUUGGGAAUCUGUGACAGUCCUUAUUCUGCUUUUUUUUCUCAACUUUUCCAAACCUGGGAUUCCUUUCCCAAGUUGAAGUCAGUGCAAGUUCGUUCAUCUUUAAAUUUAUUGAUAUACAGAUCAUGAGACUAAGCUUACAUAGUUUAGGUGGUUGCUUGCUGUAGUUUUUUGGCCAUAAAAUAGCUGAGCUGCGCAUGGUUGCAACUCUGUUGUUUAGGCUUUUCUCAAGCUAAAUCUCAGAACUAAAAGCUGAAAGAUUUUAAGCAGAGUCGUCAUGUAGCUUAUAGAAUUCUUUUCCAUUUGGUUGAUCCUAUGUCUACGAUCAUCCUUUCUGCCAAGGCCAUUUGACACCUACAGGAUUAGACUACAGGGGAUUGUGUUCCCUGUAGAGAGAUAAAAAUUUUGCUUUUCGUGCGAUCAUAUGGGAUUGGUUCAAAGAACAAGUUGCUAAGCCGCAAAUGUAGACGUAGUUUCAUCUCCUGCAUGUCACGAUCUCAUCAUGGGGGAUAUGGUCUCGAGAAUAUUAUCUACCACGAGAAUACUUGAGAUGUUGAAAGACCUCACACUGAGCCGAUCAUCAUUGGCCGAAGUGAGAAAAGACUGAGCACAAGAGACAAGAAAAAUAGGUCACAUAGCUCUAAUCAGUAACACUAUUUGAUGUCCGACUCUAUGCUCUCUCCAAAGAAAAAGUAUGAAACCUACAAAAGCUAGACAUGGCUGGUUCUGCCCUCUGAGCUGGUGGGAUUGGUUGUGGGUGACGUGAUGAUAUGAGUGGAUUGGAUGAACAAAAAUGAGCUCUUUUUAGUGUUGUAGGUUGUGUCAGGAGUCAUAUUCUCUUGGAGUUUUGGGUUUAGGAGGUGGUUGGGCUCUUGUGACGUGAAGAAGGUGGCUAGGUUGAUCAAACAUUGCUGUCAUCAUGUUUUCUUCGAGGAGGCCUUCAUACUUCCUUUGACAAUCUUUGUGAUGCAAAGCCUUAAUGGACGAUGAUCUUGUUGCAUUGGUGCUUAAACUAUCACCUCUGUGCUACACAUGCAAGCUAAUCUUAAUGUAGGAUGUCGACAUACACAAUCUUAUGAUAUUAUACUGUAAACAAACCCUCAUUCCACCUGGAAAAGAAAGAAGAGUAAAGAAGCUUGCCAUGUAUAUUUUACCUCCAUCAUUUAUCUUUAUCUCCAAAAGAACAUGAAGCUUUUUGUUUGUCUGUUUGGUUGCUAUUGGAGUACACAGAUUACUAGGCUUGACCAGGGAAUUAUGAGACCUCUUAACUCACUUCUUGGAUUGAUAAGAUAUUUUACCUUCAGUAGGACUGGGACAGGUUAUCUGUUAGCUUCAAUCCUCUGUGUCUGAGAGAGAGAGAGAGAGAGAGAGAGAGAGAGAGAGAGAGAGAGAGAGAGAGAAAAUCUGCCAUUAUUUUCAAUUUUGACUCGUGAAUAGAGAAAGACGCCAUAGGAAGGACACAAAAUCUAUUGAAAUGGAUUUCAGAUGCAGAAUUACUUGAGCUGCAGGAUGAGCGUCGAGUGAAUUUAUUUCUUUGAUGACUUUUGAAGAGACAUGGCGACAUGGGUUUGAUUCUUCAUAUUUGCUGAAUUAGGCACCGAUGUCUCCUCCACAGGAAAAUGACAUGUUUGGCUUUUGGACCUAUCACCCCAAAGCCACAUUGAUUUCUUCCUCCAAGUGUCAUGUUCUGACUUUAAUUCAGAUUAAACAUCAUCAAAAUCAAUCUGAUGAGUGUGUUCUUCUUCCACGUUGGUGCCAUCAUUUUUGCUGUUCUCCUUCCCCUUAACCAGGGUGUGCCAAACCCAACCCUACAUAACUCUACACUGUCUCUCAUUUAAUGACUGCUUGACCUCCUGCUCUCUCUUUCUCUCUCUUCCAAUUGCUGUUCAUGCUUGGAGAGAUCCAGGUAGAAAGCUUUGCAUCUGGUGAUGGACGCAGGAGAGAAGGAGGUCAAACGUGAGGACAAUAAUGAGGUAAAGAUGGAGAUCAAACAGCUCCUUUUGUCUUCCAUCUUAUUUUCAAUUGUGUCAACAUGACUCCACUUGUUGUCUCCCUUUCAGCUCAUGAACAAGGGGAGCAGGCAUCAGAAGCCAAUGAAGAGGAUCAGCAGCUCAGACUCCUUCAAAGGUAUUAAGAAGUAGAUUUAGGCUUUCACCUCUGAUUUGCUGUUGGUGAUUCAUAGUGAUUUGGGUUGUUCCAGUGGAAGGAAAUGACAAGUCCGAGGAGAGAGUACGCCACUCGCUCCUCCUCGAGGGAACGGAGGAGAUGGAGUGGGACGAUGAGCUGUGCUCCAAUGGCUCCUCGUCUCUCGGGCAGAAGAAGCGGCGGCUGAGUGUCGACCAGGUGAAGGCUCUGGAGAAGGACUUCGAGGUGAUGAACAAGCUGGACCCGGAGAGGAAGGUGAGGCUGGCUCACGAGCUGGGCCUCCGGCCCCGGCAAAUCGCCGUCUGGUUCCAGAACCGCCGCGCCCGGUGGAAGACCAAGCAGCUGGAGCGCGACUACGGCGCGCUCAAGGCCCGUCACGACGCGCUCAAGCUCGACGUCGACGCGCUCCGCGGCGACAAGGAGGCGCUCAUGGACGAGGUAAGCCGCCACCGCAGAGCACCCUCCCGGUUUCGCUUUGGGACACUCCAUGAUCGUUGGCUCUGAUCCAGAUGAGAGCGCUGAAGGCCAAGCUAGCAGAUCCCGCCACACCAAAGGUCGAGGAGGACGGCCGAGCUCUUGGCUUCCGGGAUGGCACCUCCGACACGGAUUCAAGUGCGGCGCUCAACGAGGAAGCCAGUCCCUACUCUGGAGCGUUGCUGGACCAGCACCACUCUGUUCUGGAAACCAAGUCCCAUUGCUCCUCCAUCUUCAUGGAAGAAGAUGGUUUCUUAAGGGGAGAGGAGCUGUGUGGUGCUCUGUUCUCGGAGGAGCAGGCACCCACCCUCCCUUGGUGCUGCACCGAGGGAUGGGAAUGAGCUAACAGAAGAAGAGGAGGCCACUGUAAAUGGAGUCCUUGGUGGGAACUGUGCGUAAAGGGUAGUGUCAGAAGAUAGUGAAAAGAAGAGACUCAAAGUCUCUUUUCUGUAAGCCAAUGUUUAAUAUAUGUCGAAUAAAGAAGGCCAGGCAAGUAGAGAACUCUUGACAAACUUGGUAGAGAGCUGAGCAUGGUAACCUUCUGUGUCUUGUGAUUGCUAUUGAUAUCUCAGGUGAGAAACUACUAUUGAGCUUUAUAUAUUUGCAUUUGACAGAUGCGCGUAAGAAGAACUAUGUGAGUUGAGCACACGAGAAGAAACUAUGACUUGUUAAGAAGAUCUUAUUAGCACUUGCUCAUGUGGCAACGGGUGUUGGAAAGGCAAGAUUGAGUGCUGUAAUCCAUCUCUGAUUGAUGUAGUACAUGUAGUCGGUGGCAAUGCAGCCUGACGUGCUGUACUACAUUGCAAUUAGAACAUCUGAAACAUGCUUAAGUGUCGGUACACAUCAAUGGUAGAUAGAAAGCAGAGAGGAAGAGUGGGGUUGCUACGUGCAGAUCUUCCACAUCUUGAUGGUGGAAAGAGAAUGAAAUUGCAGAUCUUCCACGUUUUGUGAUUGAUUAUGGAUGAACAUAAGCGGGGGAUCA